RNAcentral lists this long non-coding RNA (51952 nucleotides) under Brassica napus (rape). Its description in RNAcentral is "long non-coding RNA (BNAP_LNC000403)". The record is from RNAcentral. Lineage: Eukaryota; Viridiplantae; Streptophyta; Magnoliopsida; Brassicales; Brassicaceae.
GGUGGUGGGGGUGGUGGUGGGGGUGGGGGGUUCUCCCGAAGUAGUAUGAACCCUGACCUUGUUUUUCUUGAAUAUCAAGUGUACUUCUGUAUUUCUCAUCUUGGCGUCAGCCGUCAGUUAUUCCAUUUUGAGAAAGACACAAAACAAUGAAUCCUCACAUAGAUCAAUAGAACCUACACAAAUCAAACUUUUUAAUGAAAUUCAUUAUCGUCAUUAAUUACCUGCUGUAGAGUUUGUAUUUGAGUUGUGCACAAAAGGAGAAGAUCAAGUCCACAAGAGAUUCUCGGGUGAGUCAGAGGAUCCAAAGAUCGAGAAAGAAACAAACUUAAAAGCCUAAGCAUGUUUCAAUAUAAGUAAAGCACGUUACACCCAUCUUAGCCCGAAGUAGAAAUGUGUCGUUUUCUCGUAUGCGAGUGUUGAUCAAAACUAGGCUUGCAAUUUUGGCCCGAUUUUGGCUUUUAGUUUAUUCGAUUAUGGAUUCUAAAAUGAUCAGCAAUAUUAUAAAAUUAAUUCAUUUAUUGAUUUGGUUUACUACGACAGUCAGUUUGUGACGUAAGAAAAAAAAGACAAUCAGUCAGUUUGUUUAAUUUAAAAUAAACCAAUUUUAAAAUAUUUCGAACUGAUUUUUUUUUUUACUUUAAAAUACAUAUAUUAACCAAUGAGUUAAAUCUAGAUAAACAAAAGAACUAAGAGCAUGAUUGGUUUUCCCGCUACCAUCCGCAAACGCAGCUUUUGCGAUUGGUAGCGGUUGACAGCGUUUCGAAACAAUCAUACAAACCGCUACAAAUCGCUUCAAACCGCUCCGAACCUCUUAAAAUCAAAAGUUGGUUCCAGCUAGCGUUUGCGGUUGCGGGCGGUUGCGGGAGAAUAAUUUUUUUUUCUUUUUUUUUCAAAAACCAUAUAAAUAUAAAAAUAAAAAUAAAAAUAAAAUUUUUAAAAUGGAAUUAUAAAAAUACUAAAAUAUAUCUAUUAUAUUUUAAUUAAUAUUAUAAAAUUUUAAAAUAAAAAUAUUUUCUAUAAUUUAAAAAAUUUAAAACUAUAACUUUGAAAAUAUAAUUUACAUAUUUAUUAUAAUAUUAUGAUUUUUGAUAUUUUUAUAAUUAUAUAAAAUGUAAAUAUUGUUAAUUUAUUAUUUAACCGCUGCUGUAUUUGGUAGUUAACCAGUCAUAAGUAUCCCGCAAACGCACCAAUUUCUAACCGCAGAACCAGUCGUACAAAUCUCUUAAAACCGCUAGAAACCGCAACCNNNNNNNNNNNNNNNNNNNNNNNNNNNNNNNNNNNNNNNNNNNNNNNNNNNNNNNNNNNNNNNNNNNNNNNNNNNNNNNNNNNNNNNNNNNNNNNNNNNNNNNNNNNNNNNNNNNNNNNNNNNNNNNNNNNNNNNNNNNNNNNNNNNNNNNNNNNNNNNNNNNNNNNNNNNNNNNNNNNNNNNNNNNNNNNNNNNNNNNNNNNNNNNNNNNNNNNNNNNNNNNNNNNNNNNNNNNNNNNNNNNNNNNNNNNNNNNNNNNNNNNNNNNNNNNNNNNNNNNNNNNNNNNNNNNNNNNNNNNNNNNNNNNNNNNNNNNNNNNNNNNNNNNNNNNNNNNNNNNNNNNNNNNNNNNNNNNNNNNNNNNNNNNNNNNNNNNNNNNNNNNNNNNNNNNNNNNNNNNNNNNNNNNNNNNNNNNNNNNNNNNNNNNNNNNNNNNNNNNNNNNNNNNNNNNNNNNNNNNNNNNNNNNNNNNNNNNNNNNNNNNNNNNNNNNNNNNNNNNNNNNNNNNNNNNNNNNNNNNNNNNNNNNNNNNNNNNNNNNNNNNNNNNNNNNNNNNNNNNNNNNNNNNNNNNNNNNNNNNNNNNNNNNNNNNNNNNNNNNNNNNNNNNNNNNNNNNNNNNNNNNNNNNNNNNNNNNNNNNNNNNNNNNNNNNNNNNNNNNNNNNNNNNNNNNNNNNNNNNNNNNNNNNNNNNNNNNNNNNNNNNNNNNNNNNNNNNNNNNNNNNNNNNNNNNNNNNNNNNNNNNNNNNNNNNNNNNNNNNNNNNNNNNNNNNNNNNNNNNNNNNNNNNNNNNNNNNNNNNNNNNNNNNNNNNNNNNNNNNNNNNNNNNNNNNNNNNNNNNNNNNNNNNNNNNNNNNNNNNNNNNNNNNNNNNNNNNNNNNNNNNNNNNNNNNNNNNNNNNNNNNNNNNNNNNNNNNNNNNNNNNNNNNNNNNNNNNNNNNNNNNNNNNNNNNNNNNNNNNNNNNNNNNNNNNNNNNNNNNNNNNNNNNNNNNNNNNNNNNNNNNNNNNNNNNNNNNNNNNNNNNNNNNNNNNNNNNNNNNNNNNNNNNNNNNNNNNNNNNNNNNNNNNNNNNNNNNNNNNNNNNNNNNNNNNNNNNNNNNNNNNNNNNNNNNNNNNNNNNNNNNNNNNNNNNNNNNNNNNNNNNNNNNNNNNNNNNNNNNNNNNNNNNNNNNNNNNNNNNNNNNNNNNNNNNNNNNNNNNNNNNNNNNNNNNNNNNNNNNNNNNNNNNNNNNNNNNNNNNNNNNNNNNNNNNNNNNNNNNNNNNNNNNNNNNNNNNNNNNNNNNNNNNNNNNNNNNNNNNNNNNNNNNNNNNNNNNNNNNNNNNNNNNNNNNNNNNNNNNNNNNNNNNNNNNNNNNNNNNNNNNNNNNNNNNNNNNNNNNNNNNNNNNNNNNNNNNNNNNNNNNNNNNNNNNNNNNNNNNNNNNNNNNNNNNNNNNNNNNNNNNNNNNNNNNNNNNNNNNNNNNNNNNNNNNNNNNNNNNNNNNNNNNNNNNNNNNNNNNNNNNNNNNNNNNNNNNNNNNNNNNNNNNNNNNNNNNNNNNNNNNNNNNNNNNNNNNNNNNNNGAUCCUAGAGACCAUGCCUGCAAUGACUACUGGUCUUUACUAUGCACGGAUCCGUAUGGUCGAGGCAAAUGCCUCAGAGCUAUUCACUUUAUGGCAUAACCGGCUUGGCCAUCCCGGAACAGGAAUGAUGCGAAAAUUGAUGAUGAAUUCUCAAGGGCACACGUUCAAAGGAGUGAUCCCACGAAAUCUCACAUGUGCAGCAUGUGCACAAGGGAAACUCAUAACCAGGCCAUCACCAGCCAAGGUUAAUAAAGAAACCUUGAACUUUCUGGAAAGAAUCCAAGGGGACAUAUGCGGACCAAUACACCCACCAUGUGGGACGUUUAGAUAUUUCAUGGUCCUUAUUGAUGCAUCGACCAGAUGGUCGCAUGUAUGCCUAUUGUCCACUAGGAAUCUAGCCUUUGCACGGCUGCUUGCUCAGAUGAUAAGACUGAGAGCACAUUUUCCAGACUUUCCACUCAAGACUAUACGUCUAUUGAAUCGAUCUGUCUGAACAUGAAAAUACUUAAGGCCUUGAAACCUUAAACAUAAGUUGAUAGAAUGUAAGGAUUGAAAACCCUAGGAAUGCUUAAAUCGUUUUACAUGAAUCCGAAUAUGGUAUUGCAUUCACAACUGAUUAAAACAGGAUCGGCCAGCAUAUAGAAAACGUUUGAUCUUGAAUCUGAUUGCAUUAAAACUUGCAUGGCCGUGUGGCAUUAAUCUUUUCUAGUACAUGUAGAAUUGAAUUCUAGGAUUGAUCGCACCAUGGUAAAUUUAGAAUUUCAUAACCAAAAGUCCACGCGCGCCGUCGUCUUCCUCGAUCGCGGCGGAUUCGACCCCGAUCCAGCUCUCCCCCCUGUAACCGUCUCCGAAGACGUCUCCAGGUUCCCUUACAACUUCCCCGGCGGUCUCCGAUCCGCGAUCCGCGUGGCUCGCGUCGUCAAGGAGACGGUGGAUCGGGGGGAGGAUAACAAAGACGUGCGGUGGUUCGUUUUCGGGGAUGAUGACACUGUCUUCUUUGUGGAUAAUCUGGUGACGGUUUUGUCCAAGUAUGAUCAUAGGAAGUGGUGGUACGUUGGGAGUAACUCGGAGUUUUAUGAUCAGAACGUGAGGUACUCCUUUGAUAUGGCAUUUGGUGGCGGUGGAUUCGCUAUCAGUGCUUCGCUUGGGAAGGUUCUUGCUAAGGUUUUGGAUUCUUGUUUGAUGAGGUACUCUCACAUGUAUGGUAGUGACUCCAGGAUCUUCUCUUGUGUGGCUGAGCUUGGUGUUGCAUUGACUCACGAGCCUGGGUUUCAUCAGGUAAAACGAGAGUUCUCCUUAAAGUUCCAACUUUAAUGCUGAUUGCUGAACAAGAGAGGUUUCUAAAUUUGGCAACUUUAGCUCAAUUAACAAUGCAUUAGUUUACUUUCUUUAUUUGGUUGAUUUUGGGUAAAUGUAGUUGGUAUGUUUAUUCUUUAAUCUGGACGUUACUAUAGAUUUUGUUGUAACAAUGAUUGAGAUUGUCGAAAAGCUUUGAAUUUGAUUUAUUGGAAUUGACAAGAUGAUAGUUUAUACAGUAACAUCGAUGCGCUGAUUGCUUAACCGGGAGAGGUUUCUAAAUUUGGAAACCUCAGUGAACAAUGCAUUAGCUUACUUUCCUUAUUUGGUUGAUUUUGGAUAAGUGUAGUUAUGUCUGUUUCUUUUUUUUAGUAGCCUGCUACUAAGAGUUAAUCUGAAUCUUACUAUAAAUGUGCUCUUUUUCAUAGAUUGAUGUAAGAGGGAACCUAUUUGGACUGUUAUGUGCACACCCUUUAUCUCCACUGGUAUCACUUCAUCACUUGGACGCAGUUGACCCGUUCUUUCCGAAAACAAACCGGACAGAAUCGGUGGCUCGUCUCAUCAGGGCUGCGAGUUUUGAUUCAGCAAGGAUUUUGCAGCAGAGUGUGUGCUAUGAUUCUUCUAACACAGUGACUGUUUCAGUUGUGUGGGGUUACGCGGUUCAAGUUUACGAAGGCAAUAAACUCCUCCCGGAUCUCCUCACCGUGCAAAAGACCUUUUCUACAUGGAGGAGAGGGUCAGGGGUCCGAAGCAAUUAUAUGUUCAGCACAAGGGAUUAUCCCAGGGACCCAUGUGCGAGACCGCUUGUCUUUUUCUUGGAUGGUUUAGGAUCGGAUGGAACUGGAGGGACAUGGAGUAGCUAUGGCCUCCAUAGUGUCGGAAACUGCCGUAGAGCAGAAGCUGUUGAGGGACUACGGAACAUCCGAGUUCUGUCUCGUAAGCUGGAACUUAAUGGUGAACAGGUAUAGUUUGUAAAUACUCCUAAGCUUCUCAGUAGAGGAUCUUUGAUUUGGCCUGGAUUCACAUUUUUUUAAUUUUCUUUGAAAUAUAAAUGGCAGAUGAAUCCGCCUCGCCGCCAGUGUUGUGACAUCUCAUCGCCUUAUAACAAAUCAAUGGUCAUUAAUAUAAGACAAUGCAUGCCUGAUGAGCUAAUUGCCAUGAACACUUAGUGUUUUUUCUUGGCCAUUAGCUUUCAAGAAUCAGCUAACCAAAGCCUGAGCCUAUGAUUCGUCUGCUAUAAGACCAAUGGCAUAAUUGUAGGUAAGUUUCUUGUUGCUUCAUAGUUUUUGUGUACAACCAUAAUGCUCAAUAGAACUUAAUACCUUUUGUCUCGUAGCCUGUAGGUGGGUCACUUUUAUCUUCCUGUUCAAAUCUGGUCCAUACAUAAACUCCUACAGUUUCCCGACCAAGUUUGUUUCUUUGUAUCUCCCUUUGCAAAACUCCGAAGGAGAAGAAUAAGUCUUAGAUCCUUCCUCUGUAAAUAUGGUUGUGCAGGCGUUGAUGUCACUCGUACUUAGAUUCAAAGUUUUGAGUUUUUUUCUUUUUAAUAUUAUACCGGAGUUACUUUGCUCUUUGAAUGUUAAGCGCUUGUUUGCUCAUCAAUUUUGGAAGGUCUCAUUUUUUCAUACUAAACCUGUGAAUUGAGUUUGCCACUAAGAGAUUUCAAGAGAUCAUUUACUUUGGAAAUUGAGUUUACCAGUGAAGAAUGCGAAAAGUGAUGCCAGGGGAAUGAAGAAGGCUCUGAGAACAACAGCUACAAGAUCCAAAGAGCUUGUCUUUUAGCAUGUGUACAUGAAGCAAAAUCGAACAUAAUCCUCCACUCAAUUUUGUCUUUUAGCAUGUGUAUUACUGCAAUCCUCACAACAGCACCAAAGCAAAAACAAUUACUAAUGGGAUAAACUUAAUCAUAAACACAAUUGAUCAUCACAAAUGCAACUAGCUGAUCAUGACUUUUGAGGAAGACUUAAAGAAACUAUUUGGUCCAUAGCUCUUGAUUGGUGUUUUGUGUUGGUUUAAGUCUUUGAACCAUGUGCACAAGAAAAAAUUUGCACUCCCUCAAAGCCCAAAGCCGGCACUGAUAGGAAGCACAACAGAGAACCGAACUUAUUAAGACUAUUAUCUACGUUUGGGGUUUUGUUGCCUUGGAAGCUCGGUUACGGUCAAAGGAGGUAUUAGAGCGGGAAAAAAAAGAAGAGAAAUAUCGCCUUUCAUCCCCCCAGCCGACUCAGAGAAAGCUUUAGUUUUCGCGGUCAACCCACUAACCCGUGACGGGUCCGUCAACUGCGACAGCCUUAGUUGGGCUCAAACGCGGGCCAAGGCCCGUAAUGCAUCUCUACACGAAACUUCCUGUUUUUGUUGGUGAUGAAGUCAACGGUGGUGGUUAUACAAAAACCUCUUUAGUUCAUGAUCUAACACCAACAUCGAUGUGAUCUUCAUCUUGUCUCUACCAUCUCUAAUGGAUUCUGCUGCGUCUCCUUCAUCCCUUCCAUCCUCUGUGUCUCACAACUGGGAAUAUCGUGUCUUCCCGAGCUUCUGCGAGGAAGAAAUUAGCAGAGGCUUUUUCGGUUACUUCAAGAAAGAGUUUGAAAGAAAGGGAAUCAAACUAUUCAUUGACAGGAGGGAGUCUUUUGGUCCUGGGCUCAUAGAAGCUAUAAGAAGAUCGAGGAUAGCAAUUGUUAUUUUAUCGAAGCACUACGCUUCAUCAACUUUGCGUCUGGACGAGUUAGUGGAGAUCAUGAAAUGCAGGGAAGAGUGUUGGAUCAAUAAAAGGCAUUGGCCUUUAUUAUAUAAUGUGAAUACAAUGACAUUGGGCUUCUGAUGAUUUAAGCCCAAAAAUAUGUCAAGUAAAUGAAUGAUGGCUAUGGGAUUUGUCCCACAUCGGCCAGGAGAAGAGUAAUAGAGAUGUUUAUAUAUUGCCAAGCACUUGGUGUUGGUUAAACAGCUCAGAGGAAGAGAGAGUUCCCCACGCGCGCGCCGCCGUUCGGCCGGCUCGGCUCGGCUCGGGCUCGGGUGGAGGGUCUCUGGCCUGAUAAGAACUAUUUUUUUUGGACCAAGUUAAGCUCAAAAAACAGCAUACAAUUUUAUUUAAAACGACAAGUAGUUUGUCUAGAAAAUAAAAACGUCAUGCAUGUUAUCUUCUCGAAAGUUUUAAACGAGAUAAGAGAGAGUCUUGAGGAAGAAGUUUCGGAACUCAACUUCCCUCGAUCUCCGCGAGAUUCUCGUCCACGUGCAGCAGCUGUUGCGGGAAGUGGGUUGUCUCCGUCUCUUUAAAUAUCGCCUCUCAUCUUCAUUCAUUUCUUAACUUUUUUCACAGCAAAAUACCAGCAAAAACUCCUACGCGUAAGUCUAGAGAGUGUUUCGUAGAUUAUUAGUUCGUAGAGGUUCUUCACGAGUACUGCGUGAUAACCUUACAUGGUUUUAUCCUGGGACUCAUAUUCGUACUGAUCCGUCGCACUAACGGAGCGAAUAUUAAGAGUUAAGGAAAGAGAUUCGUCUCGACUCCAUGCCUUCGUUUCCAUUUCGGUUUUGAAUCGUCUAUUUUUUCCUUAACAUCGUAUUUAUAUUAUCGUUUAACUCGAACCGGUUUUACGGCUUCUACAAAGAGUUGGGUCAAAUAGUGGUUCCUUUUUUUUAUGAAGUGGGAGCUGCAGAUGUGAAGAAGCAGAGUGGAUAUUUUGGAUCUGUCUUUGAGAAAGCUUGUGUGGGGAGAUCAGUGGAGGACGUUGAGAAAUGGAAACGAGCUCUGAACGAACUGUCCUUUAUCUUUGGUUAUCUUUCAGGGAACUGGUUAGUCAUUUUGAUUCCUCCUAAAUUUUGUUCACAUGCCAAAGUAUAUGUGCAGAUUAAAAUCUAUCAACACUGCUCUAAUGAUGCGAUCUAGAAGAAUAAUCUAAUCUAUUAAUUUAGGAUCAUAUUUUUAUCUACUUACAAAAUUAGUUAAUAAUAAAUCAACUAUAAAUUUUAUUUUUUUGAUUAUAACAAAAACGGUUGAAAAAAAAUCUAACAAGAUCUUACCAAAAAAUUUAAAUAUUUUUAUAAAAUAACACAUUAGUUAAUUUUGUUAUUUGUAAUAUAAUAUUAUCAUAAAUCAGUGGUAACUAAAAUUUUAUUAUAAAAAAAAAGAAAAUAAAAAUUCUAUACUAUUUUUAUAAUUCUAUAAUUAUAUUUUGUAUUAUAUAAAAAUAGUGUCAUAUGAAUUAAAUAUGAUAAAUUAUAUUAAAUAGGUAAAUUAACAAUUUUUCUAUUUUUAAAUUGUUUCAUUUAAAUAAAUCAUGACUCAUCAUUAAAAUGGGAGAAAAUUCGUAAACUAUAUAAUAUUUUUAUACAAAAAUAGAUUUAUUAACAUAUGUUAAACUUUUAUGUAUACAACUAUAUAUUAUCUUUUUAUUUAUUUUUAAACUCUCAACAAUAUAUUGUUUAAAAAUGUAUAUACAAAAAUAUAAUAGUGUAUGAUAACCUUUAGUUCAUAUACUAUUUAAAAAAUAGGUUAUUAGAAAACUAUAAAAUUUUAGUAAUUCAUUUAAAAUAUUAAUGAAAAGUCAAAUUUUGACUAUAAAUUUAUGUUUUAUUAUAAUUAUAACAAAAUCUGUUGAGAAAAAUUUAGAAAAUAUUACCAAUUCAAAUAUUUUCUAUAAAAUAAUAUGUUAUUGUAGUAACAAAAAAAUAAAAAUUCAUAUAAUCUUCCAAACUCAAAAAUAGUUGUUUAAUUUUCCAAAGUUUAAUGACAAAAUAUAAAAUUUUAAAAAUAAAUAUUUUAACUCAAAAUGAUAAUUUUUCAAAUUUUAUGAAAGAUAAAAUCAUAGAUGAUAAAGAAUAUUUUUUUAAAUGCACCACGAAAAACCAAACUAUAUAUGUUGUAAAAAUUGAAAGCAAAUAAUUUUAAUUCUUAAUGAAAAAAACAUAAUAUCAUAACAUCCAAAAAAUAUCAUAUAUCAAUAAAAUUUACUAAAAUAAUAGGAUUGCAAUAUUUAAACAAAACAGUGUUUUUAUUUAUAAAUCCCGUAAAAUGCUAAAAAGAUAUAUGUUAAAGUAUAUAUUUUAAACAUAACAUGUAAAUAUAAGUUAUCUUAUACAUAUUUAUUUUCUAAAAUAUAAAUAAUUAAAUUUUAAAAAUUUAUUAUAUGCAAAAUGUAUAAAUUAAAGAAAAAACAUAUUUUAAAGGAGUUUCUCUAUUUGGUUAUUUUAGAUUGUUAUUUUAUGGAGGAAUUACAUGCUUACCACUUUCAUGGUAUUAUUAUUCAUCUUUACCACCACUAAAAGGAUAUUUUCAAAAUACAUUGUUCAUUGAGUGGCAAAAGACUCUUAUAUUCAUGUUCUCUAUAUAUGUAACAAAUAUUUAUUUAAAUAAAUAAAUAAUAUAAAAAUAUUUUUUUAUGUUUCCGAAUUAUAAUUUCUCAAAUUCAAACUUUUGUGUAAUUAAUUUUUUGGAAUUUUUUAAUUUUUUCAGAAUUCUUUUUUGAAAAUUGAAAAUUUAGUUUUAAACUAACUUUUUAAAAAAGAAUUUAUUUUUUAAGUAUUUAUUUAUAUAUUUAUUGGAAUCUUAAAUUUUAUAUUCCAAAAACCCUACCGCACCAUUCAACUUUAAACCUUAAGUCUAGAUUAGUUAAACCUUAGGAGUAUAAAUUUUUUUUACCCUUCAUUAAAAACGAGGGUAAAAGUGGUUAGCGUAAACAUGAAAAGUAGUAAUAUGAAUGUGAUAUUUGUGGUAAUUUCCAUUAUUUUAUUGUACCUAACUAGAAAAUAUAUUAGUAAGUAAUAAAAAUUAAUAACAAAGUAAAAUUUAUUAAACAAAUUAUUAUAUAUUAAUAAUGCCGAAUAAAAAUAUAAAAAAUAAUAUGAAAGAGUUACACAAUAUAUAACACUAAAAUAGAAAUUAUAUAUUUAAAAUAUUUGUAAUAAUAUCAAAUACAUUUAUAAAAUGAAAAAAAAAUCUGCAUGGACAUUCUCAUUAAGAGCACUAGUGUAGUAUAUUAUUUUAUGGAAUGUCUAAAGUAUUUGUUAGUCAAAUAUAUAUUAACAAGUUCUGAUCUCUCCCUUGUUAGGAAAAGUGAGGAUGAUAUGAUGGAAGAAGUUGCAAAUAAUCUUUCAAACAUGUUAAAUAAGGCUGCCCCAUCAACGGAUUUCGAUGGAUUUGUUGGAAUGGAGAAUCAUAUCACACAGAUAAGUUCACUGUUGUCAUUAGAUUUCGUUGAUGACGUGAGGAUGGUUGGAAUCUGGGGUCCUGCAGGAAUUGGGAAAACAACCGUAGCCCGAGCCUUAUAUUGGAAACUCUCUAAUAAUUUUGAAGUCACUGAUUUUAUGGAGAGUAUAAGGGGAAGUCCUGAGAACCAUCAUCCGUUCGUUUUGAAUUUACAAGAACAAUAUAGGAAAGUGCUUUUAGUUCUCGAUGAUGUACAUGAUUCAAAGCAGCUAAAAGCCAUGGCUGGCAAUCCUCAGUGGUUUGGCCGCGGAAGCAGGAUUAUCAUCACAACGAAUGAUAAGAAACUUUUGAAGGCACAUGGGAUCGACCAAAUAUACCAUGUGGAAUUUCCAUCAACAUUGGAAGCUCUUGAAAUCUUCUGUCUAUAUGCUUUUGAUCAAAAGUCUCCCUAUGAUGGUUUUGAGGAGCUCUCCAUGGAAAUUACAGGACUUGCCGGCAAUCUUCCUUUGGGUCUAAGUGUUUUUGGUUCAUAUCUACGAGGCAUGUCAAAAGGAGAGUGGAUGCAUGCACUUCCUAGACUUAGGACAAGUCUCGAUGCAAACACUGAGAAAGCAUUAAGGUGCGACUAUGAGACAUUGUGUGAUAAAGAAAAAGCUUUAUUUCUCCAUAUAGCAUGUUUUUUCAAAGGUGAGAGAACAAGCAAUCUGGGAGAGUAUUUUAGCAACUUGGACAUCAGGCGUGGGCUUCAAGUCUUAGCUGAAAAAUCUCUCAUAUCUAUAGACAAUGGGGCACGAUUAGUGAUGCACAAUUUACUAGAACUACUGGGUUUAGAAAUAUCCCGUAAAGAAUACAUAGAUGAGAAUAGGAGACGUGCUCGGGAGAUUGGUGAUGUCCUCGCCGAUGAUACAGUAAGUUUUUACAAUCUCCUCGCCUUGCUCAUUUGAUAAUUCUCUCACAAGUUUCUGUGUAUUGAGAACUUAGAUGUAUUAGAUAUGGAAAGGGUUGUUAUGCCAAUGUCAUUAACCUACUUCUAGCUGAUACACUAGCUAUAUAUUGUAAUAUGUUCGCCUCUAAUAAGACUUACAUUCCACAAUCUAUAUAUUUUGGAUCUUUUUCAGGGAUAUGUAUCUGCUCGAGGCACAGAUCACGUCUUAACUGCAAUCAAGGACGAAAUAAGCAUUGACGAGAGAGCCAAUGAAAGGACACUUGACUCUUUACCGGCUCUUUCUCCUUUGCCUUCCAAUUGUACACACCAUGUCUUUGCUAGUUUUCGCGGGGUAGAUGUUCGUAAAAGUUUCCUCCGUCACAUGCUAAUGGUGCUCAGAAACAAAGGAAUCACCCUAUUCACUGAUAUUGAAAUCGAGACGGGCACAUCGAUUGUUCAUGAACUCAAAGAAGCUAUACACCGAUCGAGGAUCUCAAUUAUCCUAAUAUCAAAUAAGUAUGCUUCUUCAACGUGGUGUCUGGACGAGUAGGUGGAGAUCAUGAAGUGUAGGAAAAAGUUGAGUCAAACAGUGAUUCCCAUUUUUUAUGAAGUGGAACCAUCCGAUGUGAAGUGUCAGAGGGGAUACUUUGGAUCUCUCUUUGAUAAAACUUGUGUGGGGAGAUCAGUGGAAGACGUUGAGAAAUGGAAACGAGCUCUGGACGAAGUGUCCAAUAUCUUUCGUUAUGUUUCAAGGAGCUGGUUAGUCAUUUUUAUGUCUUAAUCAUUUUGGCACGUCAUUGUAUAUUUGUAGUGGCUUUUUUCAUGACUUUCUUUUUGGUUUGAUAUUAUUUUUUUCUAGGGAAAUGGAAGAAAUUAUCGAAAAAGUUGCUAACAAUCUUUCAGACUUGUUAUAUGAGGAUGUACCAUCAGGGGAUUUUGACGGAUUAGUUGGGAUGGAGAAUCAUAUCAUGCAGAUAAGUUCAUUGUUGUCACUAGAUUCCGAUGACGUGAGGAUGGUUGGAAUCUGGGGUCCUUCAGGAAUUGGAAAAACGACCACCGCCCGAGCUUUAUAUAGGAAGCUCUCUAGUAAUUUCACACACACUGCUUUCAUGGAGAGCAUAAAAGCAAUUCGUGAAGAAAUACACACUGACGACCAUGCCUACAUGUUGUAUUUACAAGAAAAACUUUUGUGUCAAACCUUCAACCAUAUGGGUUUGGAGAUACAUCACUUGGGAGUGGCGGAAAAAAGGCUGAAGGAUAAGAAAGUGCUUGUCGUUCUCGAUGAUGUAGAUGAUUUAAAGCAGCUAAAAGCCAUGGCUAAAAAGACUCAGUGGUUUGGCAAUGGAAGCAGGAUUAUCAUCACAACAACUGAUAAGAAACUUUUGAAGGCACAUGGGAUCAAUGAUAUUUACCACGUGGAGUUUCCAUGUGCAUCUGAUGCUCUUGAAAUCCUAUGUCUACAUGCUUUUGGUCAAAAGUCCCCAUAUCUUGGUUUUGAGGAGCUCGCCAUGGAUGUUACACAACUUGCCGGUGAUCUUCCGUUGGGUCUAAGUGUUUUUGGUUCAUAUCUGCGAGGAAGGUCGGAAGAAGAGUGGACAGCUGCACUUCCUAGAUUUAGGACAAGUCUCGUGCCAGAACUUAAGGAUAUAUUAAGGUGCGACUACGAGGCAUUAUGGGAUAAAGACAAAUAUUUAUUCCUUCAUAUAGCAUGUUUUUUCAAUGGUAAGAAAACUACCAACAUGGUAAAGCAUCUUAGCAACUUGGACGUCACCCACGGGCUUCAGAUUUUGACAGAAAAAUCUCUCAUAUCUAUAGACAAAGAUGGACGCUUGGUGAUGCAUAGUUUGCUUGAACAACUAGGUAAAGAAAUUGCCCACAAAGAAUACAGAGAUGAGUAUGGGAGAUGUAAGUUCGUAGUGGAUGCUGGGGAGCUUGGUGACAGCAUUGAGGGGAGCACCUAUAAAGGGAUCGUUGAUCCUUUCAAGGGUCUUUCUCCGUUUCCUUCCCGUUGUUCACACCAAGUCUUCCCAAGUUUUUGUGGGGUAGAUGUCCGAAAAGCCUUCCUCACUCACACGCUGAAGGAGUUCAAAAACAAAGGAAUAACUGUAUUCACUGAUAAUAACGAUAUUAAAAGAAGCAUGUCGAUUGGUCCUGAGCUCAAAGAAGCUAUAAAAGGAUCGAGGGUCUCGAUUGUUAUAGUGUCAUAGGGGGUCUUCCUGAUGAAUACAAGACUGUUAAGGAUCAGAUUGAAGGACGUGACGUACCUCCUUCCAUCACUGAGAUUCAUGAGCGAUUGAUCAAUCAUGAACUACGCCUGUCAUCUCUCUCACCGCAACCUGGCUCCACCUUUCCUGUUACUGCAAACAUAGCACAACAACGCUCCAACAACAACCGCAACCCUCGCAACAACACAAGCAGCAACAACUAUCGUGGAGUCACCAACAAUUGGCAGGCUCAGUCCUACAACAACAAUAACCGGAACACAAGCAAAGGACCUCGGCCCUAUCUUGGACGCUGCCAAAUCUGUGGCACUCAAGGCCAUGGUGCGAAGCGUUGUCCUCAACUUCAGACGUUCCAAGCUGGUCAACAACUUCAGCCGAACUCACCCUUCACACCGUGGCAGCCACGAGCCAACCUGGCUGUCAAUGCUCCCUACAAUGCUGAGAGCUGGCUCCUAGACAGUGGAGCUACACACCAUCUCACAUCUGACCUGAACAACCUCUCUCUUCACCAGCAGUAUCACGGAGGAGAUGAUGUCACCAUUGCUGACAGCAGCAGCCUUCAAAUCACCCACACCGGUUCCCAUACUCUUCCCUCAAACUCUAGAAACUUACUGCUAAAUAAAAUCCUUUGUGUUCCAAAUGUUCAUCGCAACUUGAUAUCAGUAUAUAGACUGUGCAACACUAACAAUGUCUCCGUGGAAUUCUUCCCGACUGCUUUUCAGGUGAAGGAUCUCAGCACGGGGGGACGCUUGGUGAUGCAUAGUUUGCUUGAACAACUAGGUAAAGAAAUUACCCACAAAGAAUACAGAGAUGAGUAUGGGAGAUGUAAGUUCGUAGUGGAUGCUGGGGAGCUUGGUGACAGCAUUGAGGGGAGAACCUAUAAAGGGAUCGUUGAUCCUUUCAAGGGUCUUUCUCCGUUUCCUUCCCGUUGUUCACACCAAGUCUUCCCAAGUUUUUGUGGGGUAGAUGUCCGAAAAGCCUUCCUCCCUCACAUGCUGAAGGAGUUCAAAAACAAAGGAAUUACUGUAUUCACUGAUAAUAAAGAUAUUAAAAGAAGCAUGUCGAUUGGUCCUGAGCUCAAAGAAGCUAUAAAAGGAUCGAGGGUCUCCAUUGUUAUAGUGUCGAAGAAUUAUGCUUCUUCAACGUGGUGUCUGGACGAGUUGGUGUUGAUCAUUAAUUGUAGGGAAGAGUUGGGUCAAAUAGUAAUGACCAUGUUCUAUGACGUAGAACCAACCGAUGUGAAGAAGCAGACGGGAUAUUUUGGGUCUGUCUUUGAGUCAACUUGUGUGGGGAAAUCAGUGGAGGACGUAGAAAGAUGGAAACAAGCUCUGAAGGAAGUGGCCACGAUCGCGGGUUUUGAUUCAACCAUCUGGUUAGUCAUUUUGACUUCUCCUAAAUUCUUCUUUUUACAUGCCAAAGAUGUAUGUGUAGAUUAAACUAUGUUAAACCUACUCACAGAAAUUCCAUAAUUCAAUUUUUCAAAUGGUUCUUUGUUAUGAUGUGAUCUAUAUUAAGGAAACAAGUAUAACUCUAUUUAUGUAAAGGACUUCAUAGUCAUUAGCUUGUACAAAACCCUACAACCCUUGUACCUAUAUAUAACUCUCUGUACAUCUUUGUCUAAUAAUAAGAAUCAUAUUCUAUAUGGUAUCAGCAGCUUACGAUCUACACAAAACCUAAAUUUUUUUCCUAUUCAUCUCUUUCAAUGGCGGCUAACAACAGCUCAGUGUUAUUCACUGAACACAACAUCCCCAACACCCCAGGCCUCCUUACCAUCAACAUGGCUAAUGUCACUAAACUCACCUCUGAUAACUACUUGAUGUGGAGCAUCCAAAUACAGGCGCUUCUUGAUGGCUAUGGACUUGCAGGCCAUAUCGACGGAUCCCGUCCCAUACCACCACCACAACUCACGGUCAAUGAAGUGACUACUGAAAACCAAGACUAUGUCUUAUGGAAACGCCAAGAUCGCCUAAUCUUCAGUGCACUCAUCGGAGCUCUCACCACCAACCUUCAACCGCUUGUCUCCAGAGCAGUCACAGCCAUCGAGAUCUGGACGACACUAGCAAACACGUAUGCUAAACCUAGCCGUGGUCACAUCAAACAGCUGCGAGAUCAGGUACGGGCCUGGAAGAAGGAAGACAAGAAAAUUGACACAUACAUUCAAGGCUUGACGACAAGAUUCGAUCAACUUGCACUCCUAGGCAAGCCGUUUGAUCAUGAAGAUCAGAUUGAUGCGAUCUUAGGGGGUCUUCCUGAUGAAUACAAGACUGUUAAGGAUCAGAUUGAAGGACGUGACGUACCUCCUUCCAUCACUGAGAUUCAUGAGCGAUUGAUCAAUCAUGAACUACGCCUGUCAUCUCUCUCACCGCAACCUGGCUCCACCUUUCCUGUUACUGCAAACAUAGCACAACAACGCUCCAACAACAACCGCAACCCUCGCAACAACACAAGCAGCAACAACUAUCGUGGAGUCACCAACAAUUGGCAGGCUCAGUCCUACAACAACAAUAACCGGAACACAAGCAAAGGACCUCGGCCCUAUCUUGGACGCUGCCAAAUCUGUGGCACUCAAGGCCAUGGUGCGAAGCGUUGUCCUCAACUUCAGACGUUCCAAGCUGGUCAACAACUUCAGCCGAACUCACCCUUCACACCGUGGCAGCCACGAGCCAACCUGGCUGUCAAUGCUCCCUACAAUGCUGAGAGCUGGCUCCUAGACAGUGGAGCUACACACCAUCUCACAUCUGACCUGAACAACCUCUCUCUUCACCAGCAGUAUCACGGAGGAGAUGAUGUCACCAUUGCUGACGGCAGCAGCCUUCAAAUCACCCACACCGGUUCCCAUACUCUUCCCUCAAACUCUAGAAACUUACUGCUAAAUAAAAUCCUUUGUGUUCCAAAUGUUCAUCGCAACUUGAUAUCAGUAUAUAGACUGUGCAACACUAACAAUGUCUCCGUGGAAUUCUUCCCGACUGCUUUUCAGGUGAAGGAUCUCAGCACGGGGGUGCCGUUACUCCAAGGCAGCACUAAGCAGGGUCUGUACGAAUGGCCGAUCUCAAAGCUCCAAGCAGUUGCGAUGCUCACCUCCUCUCAACCUAAGGCGACUAUAUCUAAAUGGCACUUGAGACUCGGACAUCCGCAUACCUCUGUCCUAAACACUACUCUUCAGAAAUUUUCUUUACCUUUGUUGCAUUCAAACCAAAAAGAUUUCUCUUGUUCUGAUUGCCUUUCUAAUAAAAGCCAUAAACAACCUUUCUCAAACUCCACUAUUGUCUCAACAAAACCACUCGAAUACAUUUUCUCAGACCUCUGGUCAUCCCCAAUUCUCUCUAAAGACAACCAUAAAUACUAUCUCCUUCUCAUUGAUCACUACACCCGCUACUCAUGGUUGUACCCACUUAAAAGAAAAUCUGAAGUCAAGGAUAUCUUCAAAACCUUCAAGCCCUUGGUAGAGAACAAAUUCAAAACCAAAAUUGGAACGCUUUACUCUGAUAACGGUGGCCAAUAUAUUGCCAUGAGAUCCUACUUAGCUGAGCAAGGGAUCACACAUCUCACAUCUCCGCCGCAUACGCCGGAACAUAACGGCAUGUCUGAGCGCAAGCACAGACAUAUUGUCGAAACAGGCUUGACAUUACUCUCCACUGCGUCUGUUCCGAAAUCAUUGUGGCACUAUGCAUUCGCCACAGCUGUUUACUUGAUCAACAGGAUGCCCACGCCGGUUCUACACAAUCAAUCUCCAUAUCAGAAAUUGUUCCAGACAGAUCCGAACUAUGCGAAACUGAAAGUGUUUGGCUGCCUAUGCUUCCCAUGGUUGAGACCCUACACUCACCACAAGCUUGACGAUCGAUCGCAGCCUUGUGUCUUUGUCGGCUAUUCUACAUCACAAAGUGCCUACUAUUGUCUACAUAGACCAACGGGCAGAGUGUUUACUUCACGGCAUGUCAACUUUGUCGAAGAUCAGUUCCCGUACUCUGGUCCGCAACCAGUGCCUCAUAUCAUUCCGGAAACUACACAGGCUACUACGAGCUCUCCACCUCAUCAGGUUAUACCAGUAACGGCCCCGUGCUCGAUUCUUCACCAACCGCCAGCAGCACCUCCGCCGGCUCCGCCGCAAACGACAAACCCUCAGGUAUGUACUCCGUCUCUUCCAACUCCUUCUUCUCCGUCUGAUUCUUCUCACUCUGGACCCUCUGUCCAGCACAAUAAUGGGCUAAAUUCCCAAGCCCAGUCUCCAGCCCAACAAAACCAAGCCACAAUCCAAACACUCAACCCAACUCAAAUGGCCCAAGAGGCUACUACUCAACCUCCGACACAACCUACUCCACCAAACACGAACCCGACUUCUUCUUCUUCACAAACUCAACAAACAACCUCAGCACAAAAUACAGAAAAUCAACCACAGCCAGUCCCGCCUAUCACAUCACAAAAUCAACAUCCAAUGCAGACAAGAGGCAAGAACCGCAUCUCUAAACCAAACCAAAAAUUUACCCUUCUUGCUACCACAUCCAAACCAUUAACAUCAGAACCCACAACAAUUAUCCAGGCCUUGAAAGAUGAACAAUGGAGAAAGGCAGCAUCUACUGAGUAUGAUGCACACAUGAGAAACCAUACUUGGGAUCUCGUACCUGCCACACCAAAUCAAAAUUUAGUUGGAUGCAGAUGGAUCUUUACAACAAAAUAUCUACCGAAUGGAAAGGAAGAACGCAAGAAAGGACGUCUCGUCGCCAAAGGCUACAAUCAACGCUAUGGUGUUGAUUACGCAGAGACGUUCAGUCCGGUCAUCAAAACUACAACCAUACGACUUGUCCUUGACAUUGCGGUCCAUGGGAACUGGACCAUCAAACAAUUAGAUGUUAACAAUGCGUUUUUGCAGGGUGAGCUUCAAGAAGAAGUCUACAUGAUCCAGCCCCCUGGUUUCAUUGAUCGAGACAGACCAUCACAUGUGUGUAAGCUAAGAAAAGCAAUCUAUGGACUCAAGCAAGCUCCGCGUGCUUGGUACUUGGCAUUGAAACAACAUCUCACUUCCACUGGCUUCACCAACUCUCUCGCGGAUGCGUCUCUGUUCACGAGGAUUGUAAAUGGCAGCUACACUUACAUAUUGAUCUAUGUCGAUGACAUUAUUGUAACUGGAAACGACAAGCAGGUCAUCGAUCAAGUCCUUCACACGUUUGCGGAUCGCUUCUCCAUCAAGGAUCCGGUUGAUCUUCACUACUUUCUUGGCGUCGAAGCAACAAGAACAACAGAGGGUCUCCACUUAUGUCAGCGUAAAUACAUCAUUGAUCUGCUCAUCAAAACGAAGAUGCACGAUGCUAAACCCGUGACUACCCCAUUACCUACUUCACCGAAACUCACUCUUCAUGGUGGCACUCUUCUCAAAGACUUGACAGAAUACCGGUCAGUUGUCGGGAGUCUUCAGUACCUAGCGUUCACACGCCCAGACAUCUCUUAUGUUGUCAGUAGACUCUCUCAGUUCAUGCACCGCCCCCACGACAGAACAUUGGCAAGCAGCGAAGCGCGUCUUACGAUAUCUAGCAGGCACAACAACUCAUGGCAUCCUUCUCUCUCGACGGUCACCUCUCACACUUCAUGGGUUCUCCGACGCAGAUUGGGCUGGUGACACUGAUGACUACAUCUCCACAAAUGCAUACAUCAUCUACCUUGGAUCAAAUCCGGUUUCUUGGUCUUCGAAGAAGCAAAAUGGUGUUGCGAGAUCCUCAACAGAAGCAGAAUACAGGGCUGUUGCGAACACAGCUUCAGAAAUAUGGUGGCUCUGCUCUCUUCUCCAUGAACUUGGCAUCCGCAUUCCGAUAGUCCCUGUGAUCUAUUGUGAUAACAUAGGAGCAACCUAUCUUUGUACUAACCCUGUUUUCCAAUCCAGGAUGAAGCACAUUGCACUUGACUACCACUUCAUACGCCAGCUCAUUCAACUAGGUGCGCUAAGAGUCUCACAUGUCUCCACACACGACCAACUAGCCGACGCCUUGACAAAACCAUUAGCUCGCUCCAAGUUCAAUCAUGCUUGUUCCAAGAUUGGAGUGACUCAAGCCCCUCCAUCUUGCGGGGGUGUAUUAAGGAAACAAGUAUAACUCUAUUUAUGUAAAGGACUUCAUAGUCAUUAGCUUGUACAAAACCCUACAACCCUUGUACCUAUAUAUAACUCUCUGUACAUCUUUGUCUAAUAAUAAGAAUCAUAUUCUAUAAUCUAGAUAAUCCUGAAAUUAAUUCUCAUCAAGGGCACUAGUAUAGUAUAUUAUUUUAUUGGAUGUCUGUAGAGGUAAUAAUUAGCUAAUGUUUGUCAAGUAGAUAUCUUAACAAGUUUUGAUCUCUCCCUUGUUAGGAAAAAUGAAGCAGAAAUGAUCGAAAAUGUUGCUACCGAUAUUUCAAACAAGUUAAAUAUGGCUACGGCGUCAAGAGAUUUCGAUGGAUUAGUUGGGAUGGAGAAUCACAUCACACAGAUAAGUUCAAUGUUGUCAUUAGAUUCCAAUGACGUGAGGAUGGUUGGAAUCUUGGGUCCUGCAGGAAUUGGGAAAACGACCAUCGCCCGAGCCUUAUAUAACAAACUCUCUAAUAGUUUCACACACACUGCUUUUAUGGAGAGUAUAAGGGGAAGUGGUGAGAGAACACACAGUGACGAUUAUGCAUUCAUGUUGCAUUUACAAGAACAAUUUUUGUCUAAAACCUUCAACCACAAGGAUUUGAAGAUACAUCACUUGGGUGUGGCGGAAGAAAGGCUGAAAGACAAGAAAGUGCUUUUAGUUCUCGAUGAUGUAGUUGAUUUGAAGCAGCUAAAAGCCAUGGCUGGCAAUUCUCAGUGGUUUGGCUGCGGAAGCAGGAUUAUCAUGACGACAAAGGCUGCACGUCUUUUAGAAGCACAUGGUAUUGACCAUAUAUACCACGUGGGGCUUCCAUCAUUAGCACAAGCUUAUGAAAUCUUUUGUCUAUAUGCUUUUGGUCAGAAGUUCCCGUAUGAUGGUUAUGAGGACCUCGCCAUGGAAGUUACAGGACUUGCUGGUGAUCUACCUUUGGGUCUACGUGUUUUUGGUUCACAUCUGCGAGGAAUGUCCAAAGAAGAGUGGAUAGAGGCACUUCCUAGACUUAGGACAAGUCUCGAUGGAGACAUUGAAAAGGUUUUAAGGUUCAGCUACGAGGCCUUAUGCGAUAAAGAUAAAGAUUUGUUUCUUCAUAUAGCAUGUUUAUUUGAAGGUGAGAGCAUUAGCUACCUUGAAAAGUGUCUUGCACACAGUGACUUGGAUGUCAGGCACGGUCUUAAGGUCUUGGCUAAUAAUUCUCUCAUAUCUAUAACUGAAGAAGAACGCUUGGUGAUGCAUAAUUUGGUCGAACAACUCGGUAAAGAAAUCGUCCGCCAAGAACACUUAAACCCGUGACUACCCCAUUACCUACUUCACCGAAACUCACUCUUCAUGGUGGCACUCUUCUCAAAGACUUGACAGAAUACCGGUCAGUUGUCGGGAGUCUUCAGUACCUAGCGUUCACACGCCCAGACAUCUCUUAUGUUGUCAGUAGACUCUCUCAGUUCAUGCACCGCCCCCACGACAGAACAUUGGCAAGCAGCGAAGCGCGUCUUACGAUAUCUAGCAGGCACAACAACUCAUGGCAUCCUUCUCUCUCGACGGUCACCUCUCACACUUCAUGGGUUCUCCGACGCAGAUUGGGCUGGUGACACUGAUGACUACAUCUCCACAAAUGCAUACAUCAUCUACCUUGGAUCAAAUCCGGUUUCUUGGUCUUCGAAGAAGCAAAAUGGUGUUGCGAGAUCCUCAACAGAAGCAGAAUACAGGGCUGUUGCGAACACAGCUUCAGAAAUAUGGUGGCUCUGCUCUCUUCUCCAUGAACUUGGCAUCCGCAUUCCGAUAGUCCCUGUGAUCUAUUGUGAUAACAUAGGAGCAACCUAUCUUUGUACUAACCCUGUUUUCCAAUCCAGGAUGAAGCACAUUGCACUUGACUACCACUUCAUACGCCAGCUCAUUCAACUAGGUGCGCUAAGAGUCUCACAUGUCUCCACACACGACCAACUAGCCGACGCCUUGACAAAACCAUUAGCUCGCUCCAAGUUCAAUCAUGCUUGUUCCAAGAUUGGAGUGACUCAAGCCCCUCCAUCUUGCGGGGGUGUAUUAAGGAAACAAGUAUAACUCUAUUUAUGUAAAGGACUUCAUAGUCAUUAGCUUGUACAAAACCCUACAACCCUUGUACCUAUAUAUAACUCUCUGUACAUCUUUGUCUAAUAAUAAGAAUCAUAUUCUAUAAUCUAGAUAAUCCUGAAAUUAAUUCUCAUCAAGGGCACUAGUAUAGUAUAUUAUUUUAUUGGAUGUCUGUAGAGGUAAUAAUUAGCUAAUGUUUGUCAAGUAGAUAUCUUAACAAGUUUUGAUCUCUCCCUUGUUAGGAAAAAUGAAGCAGAAAUGAUCGAAAAUGUUGCUACCGAUAUUUCAAACAAGUUAAAUAUGGCUACGGCGUCAAGAGAUUUCGAUGGAUUAGUUGGGAUGGAGAAUCACAUCACACAGAUAAGUUCAAUGUUGUCAUUAGAUUCCAAUGACGUGAGGAUGGUUGGAAUCUUGGGUCCUGCAGGAAUUGGGAAAACGACCAUCGCCCGAGCCUUAUAUAACAAACUCUCUAAUAGUUUCACACACACUGCUUUUAUGGAGAGUAUAAGGGGAAGUGGUGAGAGAACACACAGUGACGAUUAUGCAUUCAUGUUGCAUUUACAAGAACAAUUUUUGUCUAAAACCUUCAACCACAAGGAUUUGAAGAUACAUCACUUGGGUGUGGCGGAAGAAAGGCUGAAAGACAAGAAAGUGCUUUUAGUUCUCGAUGAUGUAGUUGAUUUGAAGCAGCUAAAAGCCAUGGCUGGCAAUUCUCAGUGGUUUGGCUGCGGAAGCAGGAUUAUCAUGACGACAAAGGCUGCACGUCUUUUAGAAGCACAUGGUAUUGACCAUAUAUACCACGUGGGGCUUCCAUCAUUAGCACAAGCUUAUGAAAUCUUUUGUCUAUAUGCUUUUGGUCAGAAGUUCCCGUAUGAUGGUUAUGAGGACCUCGCCAUGGAAGUUACAGGACUUGCUGGUGAUCUACCUUUGGGUCUACGUGUUUUUGGUUCACAUCUGCGAGGAAUGUCCAAAGAAGAGUGGAUAGAGGCACUUCCUAGACUUAGGACAAGUCUCGAUGGAGACAUUGAAAAGGUUUUAAGGUUCAGCUACGAGGCCUUAUGCGAUAAAGAUAAAGAUUUGUUUCUUCAUAUAGCAUGUUUAUUUGAAGGUGAGAGCAUUAGCUACCUUGAAAAGUGUCUUGCACACAGUGACUUGGAUGUCAGGCACGGUCUUAAGGUCUUGGCUAAUAAUUCUCUCAUAUCUAUAACUGAAGAAGAACGCUUGGUGAUGCAUAAUUUGGUCGAACAACUCGGUAAAGAAAUCGUCCGCCAAGAACACAAAGAUGAACCUGAGAGACGUAAAUUCUUGGUGGAUGCUCGGGAGAUUUGUGACGUGCUUACCGAUAAUACAGUAAGUUUGACAGUCUUUCUUCACCUAUCAUUUGACGCUAAUCGUAUAUAUGUCAUUAACUGCCUUAUGUAACACUGUUUCAGGGCUCUAAAUCUGUUUUGGGUAUAGAUCUCGACAUAAUGGCAAUCAAGGAUGAAUUAUGCAUUGACAAGAGAGCCUUUGAAGGGAUGACUCGACUCCAGUUCUUAAGAUUUAAAAGUCCCUAUGGUUCCGGCAAGAACAACAAGUUGAUCUUGCCCCAGGGUCUGAACAAUCUACCUCGUAAGCUUAGACUCCUAUGUUGGGAUGAGUUUCCUUUGAGAUGUUUGCCUCCUGAUUUUGCUGCUGAGUUUCUAGUCAUCCUUGAGAUGCGGAAUAGCUCUAUUGAGAAGCUUUGGGAAGGAUCUCCUGUAAGUUGUUUUAAAUUAUUUUGUUUUUGGAAAUUAAACAUAUUAUGUGUGUGUUUUAAUUUGUCUACUUGCAUUAUCCAUAUGUACAUCGGCUUCGACACCUCAAGCUGAUGGAUAUGUCUUACUCCUUAAAAUUGAAAGACAUACCUAAUGUGUCAAAUGCCACAAAUCUUGAGACAUUAAUACUCAAUGGUUGUGAAAGUCUGGUGGAGAUUCCUACUUGGUUCAAGAAUCUCUCACGUCUCACACACCUAAAGAUGGUGGGAUGCAAGAAGCUCAAGGAUCUUCCAACCAACAUCAACAUGGAAUCUCUCUAUCACCUAGACCUCAGUCACUGCACACAACUGAAAACAUUUCCAGAAAUUUCCACAAGAAUUGGGUAUCUUGAUCUGGAAAAUACUGGUAUAGAAGAAGUUCCAUCAUCUAUAAGGUCUUGGCCAGAUUUUGCUAAAUUGAGCAUGCGAGGUUGCAAAAGCCUGAGGAUGUUCCCAGAUGUUCUUGACAGUAUGGAAGAGUUGAACUGAGUGAUACCAAAUAAAUUUGUUUGGUCGCGAAAUGGAGGCGUUUGGGACCUCAAUGGGUUUAAGAAUCAUUGUUGACGAAUUAUUUGCAAGGUGGUGGUCACUUUCUACUUCAAUAAUGUCUUCUUAUUUCCUAGCUUUAAGAGGCAUUUGUUACUAUGCCAUGAUCAACAUCAUUGUCAAGAUCGACUCUAGCUGAUUGUAAGAAUAAUGAACUGCCAUAAGUAAAGAAACUGAAACUAUUUCUUUUGGAGACCGAGUCUGCUCAUUAAGAAUGCAAAAAGAGAGGCCACUACGAUGGGAAAAGCAAUGAGAACAAACGCUACAACAGCCAAUGAGUCAUAUUUGUAACCUAAGGCCAUGUUUAUUGCAGGGUUCUUAGGAUGAGGUUAGCGUAAAAUAAGAACUGUUUCUUAACUUUAACUAAGAAAAACUAAGAACCGGUUCUUAGUUUUUCUUAGUUAAAAGUUAAGAGACGGUUCUUAUAUUACGCUAAAAAUCUCACCCUAAGAUCUCUCUAAUAAACAUGCCCUAAUAAAUCCUCCAAGAAAGUUGAAACUCUCUUCCAAAUACUAUAAUCUCUUUGUCAACAUCUCCGUACUGACAUUCAUUUUUUAAUAGAUAAUUGUAUGUUAAACAAUUAUGACCAAAAUAGCUACAAAUAUUUCACAAUUAUAUUUAGGUUUAAGCUUCUACAUAUUAUUUUUACAAAACACAAUAUUUUUACAUGAAAAGUAUUACAUAUGUAUUUUCUUUUAAUUUCUUGAUACAACUCAACUUUUUAUUAUCCUUAUUACAUCUUAUCUUAUGAUGCCACAAUAAUUUUUAAUUUUGAUGUUGUUGUCGUACACGAGUAUGUGUGAAUAUGAUGAAUAUGUGUUUGUAUGUAUAAGAUAAAUAUAUAAAUAUUAAACAUAUUUUUUUCUAUUGAAAAUAAAAUAGUUGUAUAAAAAUAUAAAAGAAAAACUUAUUAUCAAUAAUUAAUUUCCUUUUUAAAGUCUAAAUAAAAUAAAAAUGUAAAAAUAAUCUUAUUUUUCUUAUAAUUAACUAACUUUACUUUUUAAUAAUUUUGUGUUACAAAAAUAUAAACCAAAAAUAACUUCAAAUAUUUCACCUAAUAUGAUUGUAACAUGUGUUAAUUAAAAAAUUAGAUUGUGAAUAUGUGAAUAAAAACAGUUAUUAUGUGAAAAUAAUUCUUCUUUUCCUAAAAUCCUAAAUAAAAGAGAUUUCUAAAAAAAAAUAUUUUCUAUAUCUUAACCAAUUAAGAUUUUAUUCUUUAAAAAAAAUCAUGAUGAGAGAGAAUUGUAAAAUUUUAUUUAAUAAUAAUUUGUACUUAAAAAUAAUGAUAAACAUGAAAGUAAAAUUUAUUUAAUUAACAAGAAAAUUUGUAAGAAUAUUAGUGAUAUUGAAAAAAAAAGAAUUUUGAAAAUGGCAACUUUUAAAAAUAGUUAAUAUUAACUGGAAAUAAUAAUUUGAUAGAAAUUUAUUUUUGUAAAUCCUAGACAAAAUAAAAUUGUAAAAGAUUAUGGAAUAUUAAUUUUCUUUCCUAAAAUAUAAAAAAUUGUAAAAGAAUAUUUGAUAGUUGUUUUUCUUUUUAAUAUAAAAAAUCCUAAACAGAAGAAAUUUGUAUCAUAUUUUUAAGUACCAACCAAAAGAGAAUUGUAAAAAUUUAUUUGAUAAUAUUUUUAAGAGAGUAUUUGAUGAUGAACAUGAUAUUAAAAAUUAUUUAAUUAAUAAAAGAAGUGUAAAAUUAGUACUGAUACGAAUUGUAAAAAUAGCAAUUUUUUUAUUAAUAAUUAAAAAUAAUUAUUUGAUAGCAAUUUUUUUUCUGAAAUUCUACUGAGAAGAUAAUUGUAAUAAGUUAUAUGAAGUAAUUUUCCUUUUCUAAAAUCAUAAACAAAAUUGUAAAAUAGUAUUUAAUAAUAUUUUUAUUGUAAAUAAAAAACAGAUUUAUAAAAUAUAAUGUUUUUUUUUUUAAAUCCUAACAAAAUAAAUUUUAAAGACUUAUUUAAUAAAACAUUAAAUUAAUACAUAAGAUCAUGUAUAAUUUUGUCAUUGACUCGAUUGGUGUUUUUGACUUUCAUUUGUAGCCGUUUCAUUUGUACUUAAAAUAUAUUGUAAUUUAUUACUUAGCAAGAAUAAUACAUUUUUCAGCUCAAAAAGAAUAAUACCUUUUUAAUUUAACAAGUUAAUGUUUUUUUUUGCUAAGGAUGUUAAUAUCAUAAAUGAAAUAAAAGAGUUUUUACAUGAGUAGUGUGGGAAGCGAAAUUCGCACUGUCGAUUUCUGUUUAAAUAAGGAAACAAGGAAAACCCUAAUUUCCCAGAGGACCCGGAUAUCUGCUAAUUACCACACGUCAAGCAAUCAGAACACGAGAAUAACAACGAUAAAGUAUAAGAAAUCGAAAAAGAGAGCAAAGAAGAUCUUAUUCCGAAUUUGCGUAUGAGCGUUUACAACAAGGUAUAAGCCUGGGCUCGAGAGCUGUCGGCGAGAUUCCUAGUUCUAGCAACCCUAAGACGGCUAAACCUAAUUGAGUCGCAGCUCGAAAUAACAAAAACGGAAAAAUGCCUAAAUCGCUCUAAGUGCUAAGUUUGCUCUGAAAAGUCAUCUCUCCAUGCUCCUCGCCUAGGACUCCUUAUAUACUAGCUUCAAGGUCGGUUUACGCUUUUACUCUUCUGCCCUUAAGCCGUCAUAGCGUAAAAAUGGAGAUAUUCUAUUUUUCCCGAUCUUCACAAUUAUCUUUAAAACAUCCGUAUCUAUCCGCGGAAACUUGACAUUUAACCGAGUGGGUCGGACGUUUGGUCGCUAUGCAGCGGCCGAUAUCGGCCCGGACUUGGUUGCUACGUAGCGACCGGACGGCGUGUAUGCGCGGUAAUUAUGCAACGACCGAGCUUGGUUCGUUUGGUUUGAAUCUUCAAGGAUAUUUCUUCGUAAAAACUUCGUAUUGGUUAUAUUUUACAAAAGUUAUAUCUUUAAUUUUACUAUCUCUUUCGGAAAUACGAUCUCCGAGGAUUUUCGGGUGGUAAUUCCGUCGUGACCGUUUUUGACCCCAACAAGUAGAAACACUAAUCUAAAAUUGCUUCUCUGGCAAAAAAAGGAAAAACAGAGAGACAAUUAAGUUACAUUUGUUGUGAUGCAAACAUCAGUGGCUCCAAAGAGGUAGAUAAUUGGGGAAUCUUUUCUUCCUGUUUCUUGCAUGGAUGGUGUUGCGAAUGUCCCUGUCUAUGCACUUAAUAAUAGACUCCGGUGGAAUGUGGGUGCUGUUGAAGAGGACAUUGUUUCUCUGUUUCCACAGAUGAUAUAUCGUUGCGUGGACAACCAGACAACGGAGUGUUGCUGGGGCUUGAAGAGUAUCGGAUUUCAACCAUGAGAGCAGCUCCUGCCAGUUACAAAAUAACCUACCAGAAGGUCGUAGCCUUAGAAGUGCCCAUUUCCAGAUGACAACACUAUACUCACAGGUUAAGAGUAAGUGGUCUCUAUCUUCAGGGAAUUGGGAACAAAGACAACAGUGAGUAGGUAUGAGCAUUCCCCAAGAAGCCAGUCUAACCCUUGUGGGCAUCCUGUCAUAAUUUGCAAUCCACAUAUGUAAGGCUUGCUUUGGGACUGCUCCUUUGUACCAUAUCACUUUGACCCAGUCUUUUGUACUUUCCCUUGGUCUGAUUGCAUCCCAUGUGCUCGCUGAAGAGAAUGUCUGCAGCUUAUUCCCAUUAACUAGCCAGUGGUAGGAGUCCGGAUCGGAGGAGACUGAUGGAGGUGUGACCGUUGUCAAGUGGAUAUGUAGCUCUAGUGCACGGUCUGAUCUUGGGUUUGGGAGUCUCCAUCCAUUCACAUUGCAAGCCUUUGAGACUGUUUCUUGUCGGGGCACACAAAUGUCGCGAGGGCCAGUAUCUCCUAGGUACUUUAUGAGAGGACCGAAAGGAGACCAUGGAUCAAACCAGAAGCUUAUGGUUGUUCCAUCUCCCACAGAGGCUCGUAUAUAUCUCUCAGCCAGAUAUUUGAUCUUCAGUAGACACUUCCAGAUCCAAGAGUGAGAAGGUCUUUCCUCAGCUUCCCAGUAGCAGGUAGAUCCUAGAUACUUCCUUUUCAUCCAAGAAGCCCAUAGCGAUGAAGUCUGCGAAAAUAGAAGCCAUGUGUACCUUAAGUACAGAGUUUUAUUCCAUUCAUGGAAACUUCUAAGUCCGAGUCCCCCUUCUGACUUUGGCAAGCAUACCGUGGACCAUUUAACUUUCGCCUGAUAAGCACCCUCCACUGUCCCUGACCAGAGGAAUCUUGAGCAAAGGGAUUCAAUCUUACGUAUACAGCUCUUAGGUAAGACGAAAGUUGUGAUCCAAAAGAUGACAGUCACUGUGAUCACUGAUACUAUCAGCUGUAGCCUUCCUGCAUAAGACAAUUUUUUUACUGCCCAACCCACAAAUCUGCAUCGAAUUUUAUCCAACAGAGGCUCAUAUUCGGAAACUCUCAACUUCCUUGACAUAAGCGGCAAUCCUAAAUACCUCACAGGAAGGGAACCAGUAGUGAAACCAUAACUAGAUAUAGCUGCGGUUUCAACCAGGUUCAGGCCCGCUGUGAAGAGUUGUGUCUUGUUGAAGUUUGUAACUAAACCUGACCAAGAAGCAAAAUCAUCAAGAGUUUCGACAAUUCCAUGAAGUGAGGAGCUGCCACCGUCAAAGAAAACCAUCACGCCGUCCGCAAACAUUAGGUGAGAGAUGGCCAGGUCUUCUGUUUGCGGGUGAUACUUUAUGUAUCCAGAGUCAAAUCUUGCACGGAGUAAUUGUGAAAACACCUCCAUCGCCAAUACAAAUAGAUAAGGUGAAAGUGGAUCACCUUGUCUAAGACCACGAGAGCUUUGAAAAUAACCACUUGAGCUGCCAUUGAUAGAAACUGAGAAAGAGGGUGUGGAGAUACACUCAAUUAUCCAGUCUCUGAACUUUGUCGGUACUCCUAAGGCUUGAAGAGUGGCAAUGAUGAAGUCCCAUCUCAGUGAAUCAAAAGCUUUUCUAAGGUCGACUUUGAGCAUCCCACUCGGUUGGACAUUGUUGCUAUUGUAGCCGUGGAUAAUCUCUGUGGCAAGCAAUACAUUUUCACCCAACAUUCUACCCGGUAGGAAAGCAGACUGGUAAGGAGAAAUGACCUCCACCAAGAUUUUCUUUAACCUUCCUGCCAACAGUUUUGCAAUCACUUUAUAAAGUGUGUUCAGGCAAGAGAUAGGUCUAAAAUCAGUCAUUUUUGAGGCGUUUGGUAUCUUGGGUAUGAGGACUAAAGUAGCUGCAUUCCAUUGCUUUAGAAGCUUUCCUGAAGAGAAGAAUUCGGAGACAGCAGCAGUCACUUCCGGUCCAACAAUGGACCAGCAGGUAGAGAAGAAUUCUGAGGUGAAACCGUCAGCCCCACUGGUUUUGUUCUUAGGGAGAGAGAAGAAGGCUUCACGAAUUUCUUCAGAUGUGAAGUCCCUUGAGAGGCCUGAUUUCUGAGCUUCAUUGCAGCGAAACGGAAUGAGAAGGUCAAUGUCACUCUGCUCAAACAGUUGGUGUGGCACUUCGAGGUUGAGGAACUUCUUAAAGUAAUCUACAGAGUGAUCAGCAAUGUCUUUGGCUGAAUCAUAGCGAUUUCCUUCCUCAUCCAUCAAGUAAUGUAUAUGAUUGAUAGAUUUUCUGGUAUCUGUUAAUCUGUGGUAGUAUGCGGUAUUACUAUCACCCAAGUCCAGCGCUGUGAUUCUUGAUCUUUGCAAAAAAAAAGAUUCCUCAGCUUUAGCCAGGGUCGACCAUUUUCGGUGAGCUUGGUCCUCCUUCUCAGCAUUUCGAACAGAAGGGAAAUUCAUCAGUUGGCUCUGCAUACGAAGGAGUUGCGUAUGUGCCUCGAGCACUCUUUUUUCCAGAUUUGAGUAGCCAAAUUCUGAAGCCUCUGGUUGUAGACACCCUCAGCCUGUAUCAUCAAAGUUACAGAUAUAAUAAAGCAUAUAAAAGCUGGAGAAAAAAAUCAAAACCCAGCAUUAGCAUCUCUGAUCCCGUGACAUUGAAUGUGAACCAAAGCUCUCUGACAACCAUCAAGAAAUUCUGAUUCUGCAGUAUAUAGUUGAAGAACUUGAAUGGUUUCUUACUUGCCUGACUUUCUAGCUGGAGCGAUACACCACAAGACGCAUGAUCCGAGAAGUCAGGUUCACCAAAAUAGGCAAAUGAGGUUGGGAAGCAGUCCAGCCAGGCAGAGUUGACGAGGACGCGAUCAAGUUUCUUGGCCACAGGGUUGGUCUUAGACUUAUUCUACCAAGUAAAAGUGCUACCUCUAAAUGUGAGGUCAGCUAGCUCAGAAUCAAGCAAGCAGUCCCUAAACUGACGUGUGCGCAGAUCGACUCUGGAGUCUAGAUAAUUGGGAAGAUAAUAUUUGGAGUCUUUUUUGGACGCAUAUCAUUGUGAUCAAAUCUUACAAUUUUAAUAUGUCAUAAAUAUACAGCAAAACAAUCCAGAAAUGUUAUCAAAAAGCGUGUUAUUUCAUUAGAACAGCUUAAGAGAGUUAACCAAAUUAACAAAAAGAAAAAAAAAACAGAACAUAAUCUGCGUUUCUGUUAGUCUCACAAGUCACAACGUAAAAACAACUUUCCCUCAAAAAACAAAAAAAAAUAAAAUAAAAUAAUCCUGAAACAGAGCUUCUCUUUUCGUUUGUUGAAAUUUUGUUUGUGGUUGCCGCGAUUGUUAGGCCCUGUAAAAAAAAAGCGUUCAUACGUUGGUCGGAGCCUUUUUGCAUGGCGGUUUGCUUUGGAGGGAGUACGGCAAAGAUAUCAAGGUCUGCAAAUUUAGACGUCGUUGCGAUAUUGGGUGCUUUCCGUGAGAUGAGAAACGGAGGUUAAUGGGGAGAUUGAGAACAGCUUUUCUUGCCGUCUCUCUCGUUUUUCUUGUUUGCGUUUCCGAGGAGAUUAUCUCUCGACGCGGCGCCAACCGCGGCGAGGCUCACGGUGGCGAUGAUGUGGUAAGUUCAUCCUCCUUGCUUCGUUUUCUCGUUUUAGAAACAAAUCAAGAACGCAUGGAGCAAUCUUUUUUUUUUGGCCAAAUACGUAUAUAUGAAGCAAUCUUCAUUUAGGUUUUUAUUUUGUGCAUAUUCAGACAACAUGUUUGUUAUUCCGACCACAAGUUUAUUAUUGACGAACGUGUUAUUUUUCUGAUAGGCAGAACAAACAUGGAUACAUUGUAGAAAAGAAUUGAAAGAUAAGAACAGAGAUUGCCUUAUCUAUAUCCCUCCUCGUGUAGCAGCAGCUAAUGAUACGUACCAGAAACUAUCCGUCUUAACCGGUUGGUUCAGCAACUGGUUUGGACCUCUCCUUGAUUCUACUACAAGCUAUCCAACAAGAAAGCUGAUCGGUAAGCAAAAGAGAAAGAAAAAGAAAAAGAGAAAGAAGUUUAGAGUAUCUGCUCCAAACUUUGCACUUGGUCCUGCACCAGGUUUUGCUCCAGGUCCUUCUCCCCGUUUCGCUCCAGGUCCUGCUCCAACAACUCCUCAGAGUUAUGACCUUGUUGCACCUUCAAGCUCUCCUUCAUAUUCGCCAGCUGAGGCGCCGGAUGAAUCAAGCUUUGGUGGUCCGACUAAGAAGAGAGCAAAGAGUAUUGUUGCUCCUAGUCAAAGUGUUCCAGGUCCUCCUCCUCCUCCACCACCGGAGAGGAAGAAUGAUAUCUUGAUGGAUCUUAUCAUCGCUGUUGCUUCAACCGCUGUGUUAACGUUUUUUCUAGUUGCAUUGCUCUUCUUAUGUUGCUUCAGACGCAACAACCGCAAAAAUGCGGUUGGUCCUAGAAAUGGACCAAGAGAUGAAGGACCACUUCUACAUUUAUCUGAUUUAUCAGCUGGUAAAUGAUGUUUUUUAUUAAAUCAAAACGGUUUCACGUUUUAAUCUUUCAAGAACUAUAACUAACUCUUGUUUUGCUUAUUUUUUUCUUUAGGAUCUAAUGAGAACUCUCCAAAGGUUGCAGCCACGAGUAGGAGAUUCUUCACCGCUAAUUCUAAGAAGAGAUCGUUUCUGUCUAGAGUAUCUCUAAAGAGAAACCAUCAUGACUUCCCACCAGCUGAAGCGUCGUCAUCCUCUGGACUUCCUCUUCCUCCUGGAAGAUCAUCAGGAGCUCCUCCUCUUCCUCCUGUGGCUCCACCACCUCCACAGGCUCCACCACCACCUCCUCCUAAAUCUAAACCUCCUCCUCCUGCUCCUCCAAAACUUGUGCGUCCUCCACCUGCACCACCAAAACGUCAAGGACGUAGCUCCUCUGGAGAUGGUUCUGACGUUGAUUCGGAGACCGGAGCUCCGAAAACGAAACUAAAACCGUUUUUCUGGGAUAAAAUGGCUAACCCUGAUCAGAAAAUGGUUUGGCAUGAGAUCAGCGCCGGUUCAUUCCAGUUAAGAACUGAAUUAAAACUUUUAAUACCUUUGUUUCCAGAUCUUUGCCUAACUCACAUUCUGCUUUGUAGGUUCAACGAACAGGAGAUGGAGUCUCUUUUCGGUUACAAUGAUGUGAACAAAAACAAGAAUGGUCAAAGAGGAGAAUCAUCUAGAGACUCUCCUGUUCAAUAUAUACAAAUCAUUGAUCCAAGGAAAGCACAAAACUUAUCUAUUCUUCUCCGAGCUUUGAAUGUAACAAUAGAAGAAGUCGUUGAUGCCAUCAAAGAAGGUAACGAGCUCCCAGUGGAGCUUCUCCAAACAUUGUUGAAGAUGGCUCCAACUUCAGAGGAAGAACUCAAACUUAGACUAUACUCGGGAGAUCUUCAUCUACUUGGCCCUGCGGAGCGAUUCUUGAAAAUUCUUGUUGAUAUACCUUUUGCGUUUAAACGUAUAGAGUCGCUUAUAUUCAUGAUAUCGCUUCAAGAAGAAGUCUCUGGCAUCAAAGAAUCACUCGCAACUCUCGAAGUAAGUCCACAAUUACACAUGACUUGCCUACUAUGUAUUUUAAUUUGAGUAGUGUUUAAAUCUAAAUACAAUUCAAGGCAUUAUUACAUAGAUUUUAGAGUUCACCAACUUUAAAUUAUCUUACAAUUUUAAAAUUUGAUGGAUUGCAAAAUAUUAAUAAUUUAUUUUAAAUCAUUAAUUGAAUAGUAUUCUGUUUUUUUGUUUUUUGUUUUGUUUCAGGUGGCUUGCAAGAAACUUAAAAACAGUAGACUGUUCAUAAAACUACUAGAAGCAGUUCUCAAGACAGGAAACAGAAUGAAUGUCGGAACUUUCCGCGGUGACGCGCAAGCUUUCAAACUCGACACGCUCUUGAAACUCUCUGACGUCAAAGGAACUGAUGGCAAAACUACACUAUUACACUUUGUUGUCCUUGAGAUCAUUCGUUCUGAAGGCGUUCGUGCUCUUCGCCUCCAGAGAUCAAGCAAAAGCUUCUCCAGCGUUAAAACAGACGAUACCAACACAGACACAAGUCCACAGUCUGUUGAACGUUACCGAAGCACUGGACUUCAAGUUGUUUCGGGACUAACCACAGAGCUUGAAGAUGUCAAGAGAGCAGCAAUAAUAGACGCUGAUGGAUUAGCUUCAACACUGAUGAACCUAAGUGGCUCGUUGACCAAUGCGAGGGAGUUUCUGAAGACGAUGGACGAAGAGAGCGAUUUCGAGAAAGCUUUAACUGGGUUCAUAGAACGUGCAGAUGGUGAUAUCAAGUGGUUGAAGGAAGAAGAAGAGAGGAUCAUGGUGUUGGUGAAAAGCUCUGCUGAUUACUUCCAUGGCAAAUCUGCCAAGAACGAAGGGUUGCGUUUGUUUGCUAUAGUGCGUGACUUCUUGAUAAUGUUGGAGAAAGUUUGCAGAGAAGUUAAAGAAACAACGAUGAUGACAUCCAGCAAAAAUCAUUCGAGUAAGAAGGAAACAGAGAUGAUUCCGGAAAGUAAUCAACCGGAUAACAUUCGACGGCAUUUGUUUCCGGCCAUUGCUGAACGGAGAGCUGACAGUUCGGAUGAUUCAGACAGUGACUAGGAUGGAAUAAGCAAAGCAGUUCGUUAUGUUAGUUUUUGUAUUAUGUUGUAUCAUUUCAGUUUCAAGUAAAACACAAACAAAAAAAAGUAACUUACAAUUUGUAUUUAUGUAUAAUUCUGUUUUUGUUUGUGCCCAGCUUUAUAAAAAUAGAUAGAUAGAUGGUAGGAACAAGAACACGAGAGCUUUUAUUACUAAAAGAAGAGAUACAACCUAGUCAAAUGAUUCUCCUCUAUGAAAAUUAUGUGAGCCUAAUCUAACAAGAAUAACAAUGGUAUCCUAACCCAAAGUUAUUGUUAAAUUCUAAAAAUCACAUAUAUGGUAAAAAAGCUAUACAUUAGAAUGAGGGGAAAGCUUGAGAGACUCCUUGCAGUGAAUGAGUAAGAGACUAUUUAUAGUAACUGUGUUGCCUCCCCCUCGCUUUCCUAGAAAAGAGAAAGCUUCUGAAUAAUAGAGGUUUCCUUUCCUUUUUUACCUAACUAUCCCAUGUCGCUUGAAAGACAUGCCUUCUGUUUUUGAGCCACUGCAAUAAUUCUCUAUCUAGUGACGAGUUGUUGACUACAGCAUCGAACAUCGGGCUUCCUAAUACUCCCAAGGUGCUUUUGAACAUCCAUAUUUUGUCCUUUGCCCAUGGCUUUUGAGGUUGCUUUGACUGUACAAAAAUAAGAUAAAAAUUUUAAAAGAUCACUAUCAUGGACAAUGGUGACAAAUGAAUAGCAUUUCGGAAGUGGGUCAAGUAUGAAGAGAUUACCAUCUGUGAAACCAUUGUUUUCACCGUCUUUGGGCCAUAAACACGAUGCUUUGAUGGCUUAUGAGCCUUUGCGUAGAAGGAAGCAACUUCGGGUAAAGAGAGGCAACCUCUGGUUGCUUUCACCAAUGUAAGAUCAGGAUCAGUAUUUGUCUGUUCAUACCAGUAAAUCAGCUGGCCGAGACAAUAGUUCUCGCCAUAUGUUUUCCGGUACUCCUUUAUACCCUCGCCUAACUUGUCCGCAUAUUUGGCCCCCAAAUCUAACGGGCUAAUUUGUACAGGAGAAGACAUAAAUGACUUGUAUUCCUGCCGACCAUAUCAAGACCCAUCUGUCAGUAGAAGUUUAACAAGACUUUGUCUUCUUUUAUCAUCCAAAUCAUACGAAAUAACUUACCCGAACUUUGAAAAAGCACUUUGUAUAGGCAUAUAUGUGAAUCAAAUCAGCUGCAGCAUCAUUCCGACACUUGUAUGUACAAGGUAGAUCUCGGACCUCAUCUCUCAACCUUCAUGGAAGAAAAUAUUCUUUGAUGUAAGUGUACAGUUUCCUAAAAGUACAAUGUUUCAUGCAUAUUGAUGCACUAACCAAAGUAAUGAUCUUUGAAGAUCCUUAAGGACGUCUGCAGAUCCAGAUGGAUCAUGGGCACGAAUCUUGGAUCUGAGUUCAUCAACAAUGCCCUCUUCCACGUGUGGCGAAAGGCACUGAAGGAUCUCCUCAACUAAGGAGCCAUCCCCGUUCCACAAAAAAGAGACUGUUUCUUCAGGAGUAAGCUUCUCCAGCGGAGGAGGAGCGUUCUUUGGAUCCCCAAACACACGUCUCAUAACAUAUCUUACCUGUGUUAUAACACUAAUUAGAGAAACUUCGAUUGGGAAAAAAUAUUUUACAAGCAAUUGCACAAAAAAUUUGAAACGCAACGCAGAUAACACGAUGUUUGGUUAUAUGAUAUGAAGAGAGAUUGCAGUCACCUUGUCAAGUGUGACAGCCAAAUUCUGAAGCCUCUGGUUGUAGACACCCUCAGCCUGUAUCAUCAAAGUUACAGAUAUAAUAAAGCAUAUAAAAGCUGGAGAAAAAAAUCAAAACCCAGCACAGAGUUCCAAAGCACAAAAGACAUGAACUAUUGAAAGAACCCGCAGAAAGGUAAAAAGGAAUGAUGUUCUGACCUGAACCUCAGCAUCACUUUUCUCAACAUCAAGGUGUAUGUCUGAAAAAUAUUUUCUCUUUUCUUCCAUAUUAUGCUUAAGAAUUUCCUCUGGAAGCUUAGUUCUCUCGAAAUUGAUGAACCGCACCUUUAUGCAGAAGAAACUUUCUGUCAGAAGCUGCACUCCCAUCAAUAGUGCUGCUAUAAACUAACAUAAAAUGAUUCAAGACUAACCAGAUGAGCAGAAUACGCAAUCACCCAAUCUGGCAGCCCACCAAGCAUACAACUUCCCAGUCCAGCUCUUCCCAACUCAAGAUAAUCUUCUUCUGAAACUGAAUUCAGUAUACAAGCUUCUAGCAUCAGUCUAUGUCGAUCCAGCAGACCAUGCCAUUCCUUCAACACCUGUUAUAUACAUGGUUCAGAAAAUUAUAUAGACAAUCAAAGGACAAAAGAAAUGCUUUUUAAACUUCGGUACAAAGACACUAAUUACUCAUUAGUGAACAAGCACACCAACCUCUGUCAUUAACCUUGCGUAUCUUAAUACCAGUUAAUAAUCAUAUAUAUGUUAAUAUCACAAUUACCUUCUGAAAUGCACCUUCACCAGUGAGAUUCAAGUAGCUGCCUCGGCAUACUUGGCUACCACACAAGCAGACAGAAGCUUCAUAUUCUUCCUUACUCUGUUGCAGACAUAAAUAUCAUUCUUUUAACAGUAGAAUGGGAACAUAAAUAUUAAGAAGAGAGAGGGAAGAACAGACCUCAGUUACAGAAUUAUAAUCAAAAGUUAUCUCCUCGCCGUAUUCAAUCGGACGUACUGAAUAGAUGCCAAUCUGGUAGUGUCCAUCCACCGCAGUAACCCUGGAAGCACCAGUUGGCAAAGACGGAAAAUGAGUAACCCGUUUAAACUUGUUAUUAGGUAGGAAGACACUCAAGUAUCAAGAGUUCUCCCCUCCAUUUUUUAUUUUUUAAAGCAUGGACGCAUAGGUAAAAGGACGAGUAUUGCCUAAUAUGCCUACGAGUAGAGCAGAUAUCAUAAGCAAAUGUUGGUAAGUGUAUCCACAAAAUUUUAUAUCUAAGAAAUUUAUCUGUGUAUGUAUUGAUCUGAGCUUACUUAAGCAGGCUAGUUUAUGCAUGCAACAUGAAUGAAACUAAAUUAUUACAAUGGUCACGUGGUUCUACUCUCUAAACAAAAUUCUGGAAAAUUGGAUGAUUGCGGAUUCACGAGCCGUGUCACAGCAUCUGACACGAUUGAUGGAAUAUUUAUGUUGACCACAGGAGAUGUUGCAUUUUCAAUAGUGACCCACCUAUUAUUAUCUGAAUGUUUAAUCAUAUGGUCAGAGAAAAGAAUGCCUUGCUCCACAAGAGCUUUAAGCUCGGAUAACUUUGCAGGCCCAUGUUCAGUGCCAUAGUAAUCAAGAUAAAACCACUCCCCCAAGGAUGAAUCUGCCGCCAUAGGCUCCUCGUGAGGUGGUGUAUCACAAAUGUCCAUAUCUACCUCCAUCGAUGGCAACUCUUCGGUAGUUGCUUCACCAACUAGCACAGACUCUUUUCCCUUUGCACACGCACUUGGAAUCUUGGAAGAAUCACAUACAGAAUUUUUCUCAGCCACCGGAUUAUUGUUAUUCAAAAUGUUUUUACCUUGCAAUUCUUUUCUUGAUGGAGACGACUCUUUUCCAUUAGAAUCCCUAUGCCUUUGCUUAUUCUCAAGCUCCAUACCAGUCUGAGAAUCCCUCCUCUCCCUAACUCCACUCUUUCUGCUUAUAUCUCUAUGGCCAUUACGUCUGGUACGAUCGCUCUGGGGAUCUUCCAUAUAUUUAGAAGUUCCGUCGCGGCGAUCACCGGACCAUUCAGAGUAACUUGGACUUCUUCUAUAUGGUCACGUGGUUCUACUCUCUAAACAAAAUUCUGGAAAAUUGGAUGAUUGCGGAAUUUAACUUACUUAGCUUCACAGUUAGGUCGGCAAGAAUGACAAAUUCGACUCGCAUAAUUAGCCUUGUGCAUGGCAUCAACAACAACUAAAUCAUAUCCAUCAGCGUCACCCUGCCAGUAACAUAACAACAUAAAAAAUAAGAAAAUGGUCUAAUAUAAUAUAUACAAGCCCAAUCAUCAUAUUUUCUUCAUACCUUCGGUCUCUCAAGAUAGAUAUUGUAAAACUCUGGUGCAGGAUCAGUUUUGUUUUCCUGCAAGGAACGAAUUCCAUCUUGCUUCUCAAACCACUUCCAAACAGGAUAAACCUACAAUAUCCAAAACAUACGUUCAGAGCUCCCUUCAGAGAAUGUUUCAUAUCCAAGAACAGCACGCCCAGUGAAUUUCAGAAAUUGUGCAGCUGACUAACUACCAAACAUAAAACUGCAAAGCUGCAAACCCACCUCUCCAAGAAAUUCAACAACAAAAUCGUCUUCCACAAAACCACCUUGUUUGUUGCAAACAACACCGAGGCCCUACAAAGGCAAAAAAGUAGCAACAAGAUAGAUUAACAAAAACAGUCCUAAAUAAAUUGAUGGAUUUCUAUGAAAGAAUGACAGAGCUAUACCUUCCGAUAAGACACAUAAUUAUCACCAGAACGACUUUCUAUAGCCUUUAAGACGCCUUGACACAUUUUCAUUGUUUGUAUAUCACACUCUUCACGAGCAUUCUCUUUGAGCUCUUCAAUCACAGGUCUUAAAGGGAAUACCAUGGGGGUGUUUCCAGAUCCAGUGAGAAACCUGACUUUCCUGUUCAGGGCACGUAAGACUACAUCUUCUAUAAAUGAAUGUUUAUCCUGCAGUGACCAGUCCAAUUCUCCGGGCAUUGAAUCAAGUAAGAGGUUAUGGGUGUAAGGAUCGAUUCCAUAAACCUCUUGCUCUAAAACCUCGUUGCCAAGAAGCUUUCUUGGUUUAUACUCCUUGACUUCAGGAAGCUCCAUAUCUAACUCUUCAAUGCCAUUUCGUUGUGCAUUCAGCUUCUCAUCAUAGUCCUCUGGCAAAGAAACCCGCAUCUUUCGUUGUACCUCCUCCUCGUCAGCGACAAUCGUGUACUCUUCAAUCAGUUCAUAUUUCCUUGUGACUGGUGGCACAAGACUAGCUUUGGUCAUACGUGCACCCCAUUCACGCUCUUCGGUCACAGAAUCAAAGGAUUCGUCUGCUGUAAAAUAUUUUUCAACACGCGAGUCCUGUGAUCGACCUUCUGAACGGAUAUCCGAUUCGCUUUCUGAAGCUGAGCUGUAAUUGUCAUUGUCAGAUAGCUCGGAAGAUGUUUCACUUCCCGAACCAAAUGAUUUACGAUUCAGUUUAGACAAACGCCUUUUGAUUUCGCGGUCAGAUGCAUAUUCUCCGUAGUCCAGCGCACCAUUUACACCAAAUGUGUCACUCGUCCUGCUCAUGUACUUCUUUUCAGUUACAGAUUUGCUCAACUUCUUGUUGUACUUAGAGGCUGAUGACAACCCUGAGCCAUCUUGCCACGACUUCAUCAAUUCAUCUCUUCUAUAUGAAGAAGUAGCCAUAGAGACCUCUUCUAAACGUGUGGCAAGUUGGAUAAACAGUAUGAUGAUUCGGUUCAUCUCUUUGGAGUCUCCCCGAUUCCUCUCUCUGGAUAUAAGAUAGAAUCAGGAGAAAUUUUACAAAACUAGUAUUAAGGAAAGCAAUAAAAACAGCUCCUACCUUUACUUAAGAACUAGGAGUCUAGGAAUAAAUGUCAAAAACAAGUAAUCCUACAUCCUAACAAACUGAGGGCCAAAAACCAAGCACAUGGGAAGAAAGCGGUUAUUGACUUGAGAAAUUAUAACCUAUAAUCCAGAAAGGACAUCAGCAGUCGUUCAACAUAUUGUUUGGCAAGUAGAAUCUUCAUAGUUACUUAUUUAUAAUUUGCAAGUCAAUAUUUGAAGUAUUAUUGGCAUAAUCAUGUACUAAAGAAGCUACCCAAAGAAAGAGGAAGGGAGCCUUACUUAAUUGCUUCCCUGCACAUCCGGCUGAUAUCCUCCUUGACAGAUUUCAAACCAUGACUAACGUAGUAACCGUUUUUCAUUUUUUCCUCUAUAUGAGCAACCUAGUAACCAAAGACACAUUAGGAUUAACUUUAACAAAUGGUAAAGAAAUAAGAGCAGACAUAAUAUACAGCAUACACGAAUACCAGAAAGCACCUUUAAAUCAAAGAAGUCAAAAGUAUUCUGCUUCAUGAUGCCCCUAAGGCUUGAAGAAAGGAAUUCCUCCACUCUCUUAUACCCGUAUUCUGACUUCUUAAUCGCCCAUCGCCUGAUACGAGCAUCCCUGGAUAGAAUUGCCGAUGAUUUCCGUGCAUCAUACAAUUUUGAGCGUUUGUAUAAGCUUCUUCGGAAUAACUGAUUGGCUGAGUCUCGCUUUUCCACUCGAUCAAAGUAAUCCUUAAGGUUACCAAAAUCAUCUGUAUCUCCUCCUAAUUCCAUAGACUUAUUAACAUUAGUCUGUUUCAAACUCCUUGACCUGGAAUGCAAGUCACCUGGUCCAGGAUGCUGGCAUUUGAGCCAACUUACUUUUCUAUAUUUCAAAGUCAAAUUUCCAAACUGGGAGCAGCCUGUGAUGUCUAUAGAAGAUAUAUGGGGAAAUAAACGAAGAAUUUCCUCAAGCAUGCUGGAAGUCACGUUUGUACAACCAACCAGAAUAAUAGAAUCAAUCUUCUCCGUGUUGUAAGUGUUCUGCAAGAGAAUGUCAUAUCAGAUCAAUUAAAAUACUAAAUUUUCUAAAAUACUGUAAACGAAAAGUACAGAGUGCUCACCAUGAUACUCCAGAGCCUAGAAUCUGUGCAGUUGGGACCCAAAGAAGAUAAGUCAACUUGUCUUGAAAUAUCCUUGUAUGAACUAACAAUGGCCUUCCAGUGUCUACAAGUCAUGGACGCAAAUGCAAGUGAUUUUACAUCAUAUCUCAGCAAAUGAAACACCCGUGCUAACACGUGACCAUCUAACAAAUCCCAGUACAUCCCCACGCUGCCAGAAGAUCCACUUCCUUCAACAUGGAAAGUAGCGUCCCCACAUAAAUCCUCAAAUGUCGACUCAUCCUUCUGAAAUAUUUGUGCAUCUUUCACUUCAGAAUGGUCUCCACUUUCACCAGCCAUCAAUCGAACUCUUUUCGUAUAUGAUGAUGAAUCAAAUUCUGAGGUUUAUGAACCAAAAACAAAAGAGAGAAGAGAACAAAUGUUUAAACAUACGAAAGCAGGAACUGCACAGUGUUAUAACCAGAAGAGAAUGAAGAAACAAAGGAAAUAGCCACCCAAGUUCAGAAACCGAUAAUAACUUGAAGAAAAGCAUGAGCUAAUAAGACGGAUGGGGUGGCAUUUAAGUUCUGGUAGUUAUGCAUACCUGAAUAUGGGUGCAUGUACUUGCCAGUCUCUUUCUUUGGCUGUCUUGCAUGAAUCCAAGAGUCUAAGACAUCGUUUAUGGCAGCAGAAAAUUCCCGAGUCUUGUAUGUUUUCAUAACCAAUUGAUGGAGUUUCCCACGGAAAUAACCAAGAAACUGAGGAUGCAUAGCAUGGAACGAGCUUAGACUUGUGUCCAUUUCAGAAUGCUUGAAAUCCUGCGACUCUGAGACAUCAAGGCUUUGACAAUCUGAAGGCAGAACUGGGGCUUUCCCCUUGCCACUGAUUUCAGAAGUUUUUGUGAUAGAAGUAACAGGUACCCAAAUUUUGUCAGAUUUCCUGAAGACACUAGUGUGGCGCUUUAUUAAACCUUUAGCAACCAAUAUCUGGAGCUCCGAAAAUGGCAAAGGUCCUUGUUCUUGCCCAGAACCAUCCAUGUAGAACCAAUCACCCAAAUGCAAUUGCAAAUCAUCGACUGUAAACAGACGAUCCCCAGGGGUGCUAACAGAUGCGUCAGUUCUCCAAAAUCCCUGCAUAUCUUGACUACCGCAAGCUGAUGACUGAGAAAUACUUUCGACGGAUUCCCUCUUGGAAUCACUAGAUGCAGGGGAUGGACGAGCAUGCCUUGAAGAGAACUUUUCCCCACCACGAACUUUUACAAGGGGAUCAGGAACUGAUGGAACUUGAUCAUUAACGACUAAUGAGUUAAGCCUAACUACAGACAGCACACUAGCUUUUACUCCCCUCGCCUGAUUUCUCUCAUCUACACCAGAAAAAGCCCACAGGGGAAGUUCCAGCCUAGAGCGGCUGCGAGGAUUAUACAAAUCAUCCUUGUGAUGCCAGCGAGGAUCCUCAUACCCAGACUUCUGCAUCAGGCAUAAUGGGAAACCAUCAUUCAGAACCAUUUUCUUUUUGUAAUCUCUAUCUUGAAAAGCUUCAUCGUGUCUUAUCCAGUCCCCGCCUGUGCAAGACCAACGACCUGAAAACCAGCUGCCUAUCUCAUCGCUCUCAGAACAAUCAACAUUUUCUGACUUCGAUUCUUCGAUGGCCAUUGCCUUGGGCUCUGAACGUUCCCACGACUCCUCAUUUAAUAGCAACUGAUUUACCACUUGAUAGUAGCACCAGAUGAUAUCUGCAAAUGCCAGAGUAGAACUUCUAAAUAGUGUCAUGCAAAACAUGUGGAUAAAUUUUUUAAAAAAAAAACAUGUGAAUAAACAAGAAGCUAUGAUUACUAAAAGUUGAUGUCGUCUAAAUGAAUAUCCAUGUUCAUGCACAAACCAUCAUAUGGCAGUAGACGGCCAUUACGUCUUUAACACACAUCAACACUUCCAAAUACUACAAACGAACUAAUAUAAAUAUAGAUGACUAUAUAAUAUCUUAAGUGAAUAUAAACGCUUGUAUCGUUACGUUUUCUGAUAGUAGAAGUAGGCCAAGUUAGGAAUAUAACUUGCCUGAAAGGAGGAGAAGCAAAUAGAGAAAAAAAUCAUAUCAUGCUAUAGAAAAAGUGCAAGUGGUGCCAACGAAACAUACCUUCAGAACUCACAAACCUUCUCGUCUCUUCAAGCUCAACUUUAAUCUGCACAGCUUCUGCAAAGCGAUAAAAAUAAGCCUAUCUUAGGUAUGGCAUAGAAGCCCCAUGGUGCAAUAAACUAAAUGUAUUAAGAAAAAUGCUUCAGAUAUUUGCUAGCAUUUUUGGCUGAAAACAUCAAAUUUCUGGCCGGAAAGAUAAUAUUUUACAUCUACUACAGUACCUCCAAGUGUUUCAAGUUCCCUGCCAGGGAUGAUAGUAUAGCCAUCCAAGAGACUCGCGAUCCUGUUAUCAAACUGGAAAUCUUCAUGAUGGCCCACUACAGUAUCAUUACUAUCUGGUAUGGACAAUGAUUCAGGCAAGGAAUCUUCAGCUCCUUGCUCCAUAUGAACUGCUUUGACAGCAUCUGCAAUAUCUUCUAAUAAAUUACCAGGCGCUUCAGGAGGAUUCACGAGCCGUGUCACAGCAUCUGACACGAUUGAUGGAAUAUUUAUGUUGACCACAGGAGAUGUUGCAUUUUCAAUAGUGACCCACCUAUUAUUAUCUGAAUGUUUAAUCAUAUGGUCAGAGAAAAGAAUGCCUUGCUCCACAAGAGCUUUAAGCUCGGAUAACUUUGCAGGCCCAUGUUCAGUGCCAUAGUAAUCAAGAUAAAACCACUCCCCCAAGGAUGAAUCUGCCGCCAUAGGCUCCUCGUGAGGUGGUGUAUCACAAAUGUCCAUAUCUACCUCCAUCGAUGGCAACUCUUCGGUAGUUGCUUCACCAACUAGCACAGACUCUUUUCCCUUUGCACACGCACUUGGAAUCUUGGAAGAAUCACAUACAGAAUUUUUCUCAGCCACCGGAUUAUUGUUAUUCAAAAUGUUUUUACCUUGCAAUUCUUUUCUUGAUGGAGACGACUCUUUUCCAUUAGAAUCCCUAUGCCUUUGCUUAUUCUCAAGCUCCAUACCAGUCUGAGAAUCCCUCCUCUCCCUAACUCCACUCUUUCUGCUUAUAUCUCUAUGGCCAUUACGUCUGGUACGAUCGCUCUGGGGAUCUUCCAUAUAUUUAGAAGUUCCGUCGCGGCGAUCACCGGACCAUUCAGAGUAACUUGGACUUCUUCUAUAAUCAUGGUGAUGGCUGCGGUCAUGUGGAGACCUUUUACGAGCAUGUGAAGGCUUCUCAAAGAUAUAUGGCGAUCUCUCCCGGGCAUAUGGCGACCUUUCCCGAUUGUGGGAACUUCUAUCCCUGUGGCCAUGGUACCUAGACCGGUCAUGUGGGGACAGAUCAGAUCGUGCAGGGCUGUGUCCAUGUCUGUCUGAAACAGCCCUGGCAGGGAAAUAUGAGUCUUGAUGCUUUUUAGGAUACUUUUCCAGAGAUGAGUGUUUUGAUGAAUAGGAAUCUCUGUAGUCUCUCUCAACAGAGUUCCGUGAAUAGUGGUCUGGGUGAAGAGAGCGGGAACAAUCAUCAGAAAGUUUUCUAUAUUUGGAGCUCCCAUAGUCCCCAUUAUCCGCAUAAAGAUGUUUGCGCUCAAAACUAUCCGGUUCAGCUCCAUGUCGCUUCAGUUUGUUCACAGUAGAAGAGUAUUCCCAAGAUUAUUGGGAUCGUUGUAUUCGUUCUUAUGUAAGCUUUCCUCUAUUACAAUUUUAGAACUGACUCUCGUAGCUCUGUCAUUCCCACUUCUGAACUCUCUCCGGCGAUAGGUAUCCUCAUUCAAAAACCUCCCGCCGGGCGGGGUGCGUUCAUGUUCAUAGUCAUAAUCAUAUUUCCACGUUUUCUCUCUGUCAACUCCAUUCCUACGAGAUCUGUUGUAACUAUGAUCAUCCUUUACCGUAUCCAUCUUAUGCCAUCUGUCUGGAAUGAACUCCCCCUUCUCAAUUUCAUUACCGGGAUCUCUCCAUGAUCUGAUUUCUCUCUCUUCUUUCCUGUACUUAUCUGCGGGUAAAUCCCUUCUCUCCACAUAAGAUUUAUCAUAUUGCAGGUUACUGCAAUCCCCAGAAAUCUCCCCUUUUUCAAUCUCAUUAUUCCGCAGUGACUUCACUGGAGAAAUCUCACCGGUCUCCAAAUCCCCAUGAGAAUUUAAUGUACCUAAUUCACCCUCUUCCACUUCAUCCUUAAACCCAGAAUCUCCACCGUUUUCUUCUUUAUUGCUACUUUCUCCUCCUUUUCCUUGCAAAAGUUCACUCUUUUUAUCCUGCUCUUUCUUCAGGACCUGUGAUUCUCCAGAAAGUUGCACUACCUGAUCUUUCGGCUGCUCUUCUGCUUGUUUCUGAGGCUGCUUGGGCUUCCUCCUGACAACUUUACGAAUAACCUUAACAAUUUUCUUCUUCUUAGGUGGCUGAGACGCUGAGGGUUUAGCUGGCUGGGACUCCGGAAGCUUAUCACUAGUUGAGAUUGAAGUGUGACCAUUCUCGGGAACCUUGGUAUCAAUGUUGCCUCCACAAAGCGUCUUCUCUGGAAGCUUGUCCAUGAUAUUCAGUAGAGGCAUGCAUGUGGCGACACCCCCAUCGCUCAUGGAAACAAAGCUUUUCUCAAGUCCCGGGGAUAUCAAUACUCAUGCUUCAGAACAUCCACCGCCAAAUUCAAGAACCUGUACACACCCAAGAAGCAAUCAGUGGCGAAAACUGAAUGUAGGGUUCUGCCCAGAGCGAGAAUCUGGAAACCCUACGGAGCCAAAUUGAUGAAAUUAGAGGAGACGAUGAGACGGGAAGACAGCGAAUUGAAGCGGGGAUUAUACCGGGGAGGGUAAGGAAACGUAGCGAAGGGGAUCAAAAAAACCCUAGAAUAGAGCUGGGAGGAAGACGAAGGAACGUGAGAAGGAUGAGAAAUUUCUGGAGAAUAAGAGAUCGAGGUCAAAGAAGACGAAUCGAGAAGGAAACCCUAGAAAGCUCUCGCUAAAUCUUAAUCUGGUUGUUCCCGUUUCGCCGGAAAAUCACCGUUGCGGCGUGUGUUCUUUCUCUCUCUGCGACCUGCGCUUCUCUUCUGAAUCGUUGUGUUCUCUCUCUCUCUCUCUCCGUUAUGUUUUCCUGAAAGAAGAAGCCGUCGUGUUAAUAUUUUAUUUUCUGUGUAUUUAUUUAUUUAUUUAUUUUUAUUUUUUAUAUCACCGUUUUCACCUUGACUAAUUUAGUUAUGAAAUUGCUAAUAGUACGAUUUAAUUUAUUGGUCAAAAGUAUAUUAGUAUGCAAUGGUAAAAAUGGUAAUUAAGAAUAGCUGUGAAUUGUAUUUGUAAAAAAUAGGUCCAAACACAUUUUGAAUGAUGUUUUCAUUGUAGUACAACGAGUGAAGUUUUCGUUAAUUUUGUUCUUAUAUAAAUAUUUGUUUUGAAAAAUAAUAAUUUCAUUAUAUGAACUUAACUUAUUAUUGAAUAUAUUAUAUUAUUAUAUAAUGUGCAAUAAGUUAAUAAUCUACUAAAAUAUUAAAUAUAUUUUUUCAACUGUAUGGUUGAUAAAAUCACAAGUUAUUUUCUCAUUCUAAUUCCUUUUAAUACAUUUCUCAAAAUGUUUUACUUAUCAUAUUUCUUCCUCAUAUUUUUUUCUAGUUUUCUUUCAUUGGGUUUUAUAGAAAAAUUCAACAGUAAAAAAUAGAAAAUAAUAUUAAAAUGAUAAUUAAAAGACAAAAUAAUGAAAAUACUUUGAAUAGUAACACUUAUUAAAACACUUCUCAAGAGUUUUUAUCUUUGUCAUUUUUUUUUGUCACUAAUAUCUUUGUCAUUUAAAUAUGACAAAACAUGUGACUUUUUAGUAUAUUUGUAUAGUAGGCAUGUGAUUUUAUUAGCUUUUGCAUAUUUUAUAUGUGUUAAAAAAAAAAUUUUGAUCCAACAUAUUUUUACUGAAAACGAAAAUAUUUUCUUUUUUUCUAAACUGAGAUAAUUAUUUCUAUACUCAUCUUGUUCAUAAAAUUAUUAGUUUAAAACUAAUCUUUUUUUCUUAUUAACUUGAAAAAUAAAAUGAUAAUAUCAGUAACUGAUGAAAAUAAAAUUCCACAUAAUUUAUUUAACAAAGCUAAAAUAAUAUUUAAUGAGAAGCUUUCUGCAAUUAGUAACAAUAAUUUAUUCUGAUCAAAUCUACUAUAUUUAUAUGUCCUUUUAGCAUUCAAAAUUGGAUAAAAAUAUCAGAUCUACCAAAAUUUUAUAUCUUUACAUAUAUCACACUCUCGGGUCCGGAUCUGAAAAUAACAAUCAUACCAAAAACAAAAAUUGUGAAAAUGUUUACAUAUCAAAUUACUUGUUCAUACAUUAUUUACACGUUUUUACAGUUAAUUAACUUUUUCACAUGCGACAAAAUGGCAUAUUGUCAUUUACUCGUAAGACUAGCCCAAAAGUAAGGCGGCCACUUCCAACAUUUUUAGCAAUGAAAAUCCAUUUGGCGCUCAAACCAAACGCUAUGAGCGGUAAGAUUCUCACCGUUAAUAAACGGACAUCUUGACCCAAGACUUUUUUAUUAAACAACGUGGUGCGAAGCUUUGAAGAGAUUCUGAUUUGAUGAGCCAUUAAACACUUGGAACAACCCGUUACUUAUAAUGUGGGCUUUGUAAUGGGGGUCCAUUGGUGAUUGAUUACUCCUACAUUCUCUUAUUGAAGAACUUCUAAAACUUUAUUCCAAAAGCAGAGCAAAAUAAAAGCUUUGACAAAAAGUAACGACCACUCUAGGCUUUCUUAUCACAUCACAAAUAAAAAAUGCAUUUUAUCAUGAUGAAACUGAUUCACGGGAGAAAAAACAACACAAGAAUGCAAAAAUAAAAAGGUCCAGAUUCUAUUCAUGACAGCAUAUAAAUAAACAGAUGGCAUAAAGGUCGUCAAUAUCAUGACAUAACAAGAGUAUUAAUUGAUUCUGAGAUGAUAAUCAUGAUAUCUUCAAAUCCAAGGGAAAAGAAACCAAAUGGUGAACUACAACACUUUGUGGGCAGUUUUCGAGCUUAGGAAGUUUCCCCAGCUCGUUGUGUCACGCCAUUCACUAAAAGCUUAGUAAAGGACUCUGGCGGGUGGACUUGUACUCUCAUUCCCUGAUGUAGUCAGAAAUACCUCAAGCUCUAGCUUCUCAAAUGUCAAGCUUGUACUGUCCAUGGUCUAUACAUGUUUUGUUGUGUUAUUAACAUCUAAUUUUUUUUUUGAAUUAUAAAGAAGUAUCCUGCCUUCGGAAACUAGCUAAAGCCGCAUGUUAACAGUCUACGUUUUCGGCCCACGUGUCGGUCUCAUGUCCAUAGUGAUACCAAAAUUUUAAUUUUCCAAUGGCCUGGACUCGAACCCUAGUGGUUUCACUGUAUUGGGUUUCGCCCUCAGGUUAAUCUAGGCCCGGGCAUUUUACCCGGACCCGAAGACCCGACCCGAAACCGAUCCGAAAAAAUCCGGUCCGGGUAGGAACCGACCCGAUCAAAUUACCCUAUUGGGUCUUGUUGCAGAGGACCCGCGGGUCUUGGACCCGAUCCGACCCAAACGCGAAACCCGAUGGGUACCCGAAUUAAUAAUGUAAAUUAAAUAAAAUGCAUCAAGGGAGAAUCGAAGACGGGUUAUUUGUCAAGAGAACAUGGGGGUCAACCACUAGGAGACAACAAAUUGUUAUUGUAUCUCGCAUAGUUUAGUAUAUAUACACAUUUUAAUAUAAUAAAAACACAAAUUUUGAAUAAAAUUUUGAAUAUUUUAGGAUAUAUAAAUAUUUUCAGAUAUUUUUUUGUAUUUUUAGGUCUUUUUUAGAUCAAACCCGAAUCGAACCCGACCCGAAACCGAACCGUAUCCGAACCGAUAAAUUCUAAUUACCCGAAUGGGUCUAACUAUCUAAGACCCGACCCGACCCGGACCCGGCACGAUCCGAACCGAUCCGGAACCGAGAAUUUGAAAUUACCCUAUCGGAUCCUAAACUCUUAGACCCGAAAGACCCGGACCCGAAAGGACCCGAUCCGAACCCGACCCGGCGACCCGAAUGCCCAGGCCUAGGUUAAUCACCAUUGAACCACAUGCCCCUGUUUAUUAACGUCUAAUUAUGUCUAUUGUCCACUGUUUUCAUGGAUGUCUAAAACACCAUGUUCAAAAAAUAAAAAUAACACUUUUAAUAUAAUAUAAAACAAUAAAAAUAAGACACUUUUUAAUGUGGUGAUCAACAUAUACAUAAACGUUUCGAUCUUUUCUUAGGAGACCCGAGACCGUAAGGUAAGUAAGUAGAAACGUCGAUGGCUGUAUAUAUAUGUUGAUCACCACAUUCUCUGCGACACGAACACUUAGUAACUUGUACGUCUGGAAUCUUAAAAGAAGCCCAAAGGACCAUAAUGUUUUUGUUGUUUUCUACAUAUGAAUGAUUAUAUGAAUGCACUUAUGUAUCAAUAUAUAUGCCUGUUUGACUGACGUAGUAUGGGUGAAGGACACAACACAUGUACACAUUGAGUAAUGACCAUUGCGUAGUGUUUGUCCUUUUAACAAAAUUUAGAUACUUUUUCGCAAGAGGAGCGUAAGGCAGAAUGAAAUGAGAGAAAUAUUUUAUUAAUCAAAUUAAGAAUAUUUUUUAAUAGCAAUAUUAUCAUAUUCAUUGACAAAAAAAUAUUAUAAUAUUUAAGACAACCUUACUUUAUAUAUCUCCCUAAUAUUUACACCACACAAAAAUAAAAUCUAACUCAAACCCAACAGACGGUCGAGUCCUCAAUGCAAGAGUUAUCGAGUAUAGUUUGGGAACAAACAAUACUUAGAUUCACCUCUAUGGUACUAUCAAUUUUCACCUCACCAUUGAUCACCAAUCAAAGUGCUAUAUACAAAUAAUAAAAAAUAUUAAUUUUUCCAAAAAAGUAAAAUAGCUUCGUUAACAUUAACACCAUCAGCAAAACAUUUAACUCUAAACCUUAAAUACUAAAUUUAAAAUAUAAACCCUAAACCUAAAACCUAAGCCUUAUAAACCCUAAACUUUAACGAAAUGAGUUAGCGCCGCCGACGUUAGAGUUUAGGUUUACAGUUUAGAAUUCAGUGUUUAGAAUUUUGUUAACGAUCGACGUUAAUGUCAGCAUUUUUUUAAUUAAUUCUACAUGGUACUUUGAUUGGUGAUAAGAGAUGAGAUAAAUUUGACAGUUUAUUACAAGGGUGAACCCAACCCUAACCAUCAGUUUCGAGAAAUUUUUCCAUUUUGAUUUCAGACGAAGUUAUAUUUUCCCUUAACAAACGUGUGUGUGUGUGUUUUUGUUGGAAAAAUAAAAAAGUAGCAUCUAAUCUAUUAAUUUAGGGUCCUAAUUUUUAUCUACUAUUUAAAAGUCUUAGCAUGACCAUUUGAUUAAUUAUUUAAUAUGACAUAAUAAUUAUUCCUAGUCUAACAAAUCUGUUGAAAAAAUAUAUAUUUAAAUUUUAUUUUUAAUUAUAACAAAUUUGAUGAGAAAAUAUCUACCCAAAUCUUAUUAAAAGUUUUAAGUAUUUUUUAAAAUCAUACAAUAAUUAAUUUUGUAAUUAGUAAUAUAAUAUGAUUAUACAUUACUAUUAAUUAUUUUUUUAUUAUAAAACAAAAAAAUAAAAUUAUUUCCUAUUUUUAUAAAUUUUAUAAUGUAUUAUAUAAAAUAGAAGUACUAUAUGAAUAAAUAAAUAAAACUAUAUAAAAUUGGUAAAUUAAACUAUUUUAUUUUAAAAUUCUUUCAUUUAAAUAAAUAAAAUAAACUAUCAUUUCUUUCAUUUAAAUAAAUAAAAUAAACUAUUAUUCACCGUUAAAAAGGGUUAAAAUUCAUAAAGUAUGUAUAUUUUAUACAAAGAAUAUUAUCAUAUGUUAAACUUUUAUAUCUACAACUAUAUAUUAUUUAAUUAAUUUGAAACUCACAACAAUAUAUUAUCUAAAAUGAUUAUAUACAAAAUAUAAUAGUCAUAGCAAACUUUUAGUUCAUGCGUUAUUUACAAAAUAGGAUAUCAGAAAAAAAUAAUAAUUCAAAAGAUAUUAAUCAAAAGUCUAUUUUAACUACAAAUUUAUUGAGAGUGGUCUUUUUUAUAUAUUUUAUGUUGUGGCACCUACUGAUAUCUCUAUGUUUUUCAUUACAAGUAUGGUUUAUUGCGUGUUUUUUUAUCAUUCCACAAUGGUGUCUAAAACAAAGUAAAAAAUAUAAAACAAAUGAUUAUAUAUUAAUAAUGAUGAAUAAAAAACCUAAACAAUAUAAUUAUAUACUUACACAAUAUAUAACACUAAAAAAUCAUAUAUUUAAAAUGUUUAUGAUAAUGUUAAAUGUAUACAUUUAUAAAAUAAAAAUAUAUCCGCACGAACGUGCAGGUCAAAUUCUAGUUUUGGAUAAACGGCAGCUGUUUACGGUUUUAGCAUUACCGAUAUAACUGUUAAGAUUAGGAAUCCGAUCUUAGUAGAUAAAAAGGUUUUUAUAAAGGUAAAAAAAAUAUCAGAUUUCUUAAGCUGUAAAGAUACAAAUCUAAGAAAUUGUAAAAUAUUCAUUCAUACAAUCAAUAUAUGUACAAACCAUAAACCAAAUAUUUAGCAACUGAGUUUCUCUCUAGUUCUUUUGAUUUCGACGAGAUUGUUUUACCUUUGUUCUCAACAUUUUACUAGCCUUAACAUUUUUCUUUAGCUUUGUAGUUGAAAAGUUUAAAAGACAUAUGUUGAUAUUGAAUGACUCUUUCAUUACACUCCCCUUAAAAUUUAAAAUUCAAAUAGCAUUAUUCAAACAAUCACCUUACAAUUACAUAAAGUUUUCUUUUUAACUUAGAUCAAUAACAAAAAAUAAAUCCUUCUUAAUCCAUGUUUCCCCAAUCGUAAAACAUCAGAAGAACCUAGAUCUUGAGAUCUCACCAUUUUUCACUGUAUCAAAAGAAACACAAAGAGAUCAAGCCAAGAGAGAAGUCUUUUUCUGUGGAGCAGGACACUUGAAGUCACGAGGUGGAGUCUUGCCACAGUCGACGAGAAGCUCAAGAGCAAUGGGAAUAAUGAGGUCGAUGUUGAGAAGCUUGGCUCCAAUGGUGGUGCAAAGACAGACCGCUGCGUCAAGACCCACUAAACCGCCAAGAACUGGGCAACAAGUUGCCUUUGCAUAGCUUUUUCCUAGUCCGAUGUGAAUCAAGCCGCCAAGCACGUCCACACACGCGCCUAGCUUCAGUGCGUCGAUGGAGCACGUCUCCGGUUCAGGCGUUAGUGCCGGAGGUGGAGGAGGACACGGAAUUGGUGGAGGUGGCGGUGGCGGACAUGGCGUCUCUGGGGUUGGAGUUGGCGGUGGAGGAGAAGGCGUAGGAGAUGGAGUGUACGGAGGUGGUGGCUUGACGGUGGGCGGUUUUGGAGUGUAAGGUGGAGGGGAUGGAGUGUACGGAGCUGGAGGCUUGACGGUGGGCGGCUUUGGGGUGUGAUGAGGUGGCUUGACGGUGGGUGGUUUGGGAGUGUGAGGAGGUAGUUUUGGGGUGUGAUGAGGUGGCUUAACGGUGGGUGGUUUUGGAGUGUGAUGAGGUGGUUUUGGAGUGUGAUGAGGUGGUUUGACGGCGGGUGGUUUUGGAGUGUGUUGUGGUGGCUUGACAGUGGGUGGUUUAGGCGGUUUAACGGGAUGUUUGGGAGGUUUAACGGGGUGUGGAGAUGAUUUUGGAGGGUCACUGCAG